ACCGGAAGUCCUAUGAUUUUGUUUUUUAAUCAACUCUGCUAUUUGCUUGCUUUUGGUGGUUGAGUUCAUCCCAUUCACUUUCAGAGUUAUAAUUACCCCCUGUGGAUUCCCCAACAUUUUGAUUUCCUGUCCUAGUCCUGUCAUUUUUCUUUCACUAUUCCCUUCUAUACCAGUGUUAUUGUUUUUAUUCAGUUACCCCAAUUCCAAACAUCAUUUUACUUCCCUUUCUCCCUCCCUUCUUAUUCCCUUCUUAUAUUCUUUAUGGUCUUUUAAAAUACCCCCUACCCUUUCCCUCCCUUGUAUUGCUUCCCUCCCCCACCAGUUCAUUUGUUACCCUUCUACUUCUCUAUAGGGCACAUAUCAAUUAUCUGCCCCAGUGGAUCUGAUUUUUCUUCCUUCUUAGAGUCAAUUUAAAUGCAUGUAAGAAUUAAGUAUUUACUUUCUCCAACCUCUUUACCCUUCCAGUGUAUUGGUAGUCUCCCCUGCGCCCACCAUGUACUUCUUUAUGAAAUGUAAAUUUACCCCAUUUUGUCUCUUUUCCCAUUUCUUUUAAUACUAACAUUUUUAACCUCUAGUUUUAUAUAUAUUUAUACCUACAUACCUAUAUAUGCAUAUCUUGACAUUUCGUCCUAUACAGUUUGUCACUCUUCCUUCUCAGUAUAAUUCUUGUAUCUAUCCAGGUGAUAAUAAUUUUUUUGACUCCAAGACAUUUAUUUAUUCAUUGAAAAUUUUAUUUAGUCAAUUUACAACAUUAUUCCUUGAUUACAGGAAUCACAUUCCAUCCUUCCCUCCCCUCCCCCACCCCUUCCUGUAGCUGACCUGUAAUUCCAUUGGGUUUCACAAGCUUCCUUGAUCAGAACAUAUUUCAUUGUUGUUGAUGUUUGCACUAGGAUGUUCAUUUAGAGUCUAUAUCCCCAAUUGUAUCCUCCUCAACCCAAGUAAUCAAGUAGUUGUUUUUCUUCUGUUUUUCAAUUCCCACAGUUUUUUCUCUGGAUUUGGUUUAGUGUUCAUUCUAAUUGGGUACAAUGUUCUCCUGAUUCUGCUCCUUUCACUCUGCAUCAAUUCGUGGAGGUCAUUCCAGUUUACAUGGAAUUAUUCCACUUUAUUACUCCUUUGAGCACAAUAGUAUUCCAUCACCAAUAUAUACCACAAUUUGUUAAGCCAUUCCACAAUUGAAGGACAACCCAUCAUUUUCCAAUUUUUUGCCACCACAAAGAGCACAGCUACAAAUAUUCUUUUACAUGUCUUUUUCCUUAUUAUCUCUUUGGGGUACAAACCCAGCAGUUCUGUGGAUGGAUCAAAGGGCAGACAGUCUCUUAGUGCCCUUUGGGCAUAGUUCCAAAUUGCCCUCCAGAAUGGUUGGAUUAAUUUACAAUUCCACCAGCAGUGCAUUAAUGGACUGACUUUGCCACAUCCCCUUCAGCAUUCAUUUCUUCCCGUUGCUGUCAUGUUAGCCAACAACCUCAGAGUUGUUUUGAUUUGCAUCUCUCUGAUUAUAAGAGAUUUAGAACACUUUUUCAUGUGCUUAUUAAUAAUUUUGAUUUCUUUAACUGAAAAUUGCCUAUUCAUGUCCCUUGCCCAUUUAUCAACCAGAGAAUGGCUUGAUUUUUUGUAUAAUUGAUUUACCUCUUUAUAAAACUGAAUAAUUAGACCUUUGUCAGAGGUUUUUGUUACGAAGAUUGUUUCCCAAUUUGUUGCUUCCUUUCUAAUUUUGGUUACAUUGGUUUUGUUUGUACAAACCUUUUUAAUCUGAUGUAACCAAAAAUAUUCAUUUUACAUUUUGUGACUCUUUUUAAGUCUUGUUUGGUUUUUAAAAUCGUUCCUGUCCCAAAGAUCUGACAUGUAUACCAUUCUGUGUUCACCUAAUUUAUUUAUAGUAUCCUUCUUUAUAUUCAAUUCAUUCACCCAUUCUAAGUUUAUCUUGGUGUAGGGUGUGAGAUGUUGAUCCAAACCUAAUCUCUCCCAUGCUGUCUUCCAAUUUUCCCAGCAGUUUUUAUCUAAUAGUGGAUUUUGGUCCCAAAAGCUGGGAUCUUUGGGCUUGUCAUAGACAGUCUUGCUGAGGUCGGUUACCCCAUGUCUAUUCCACUGGUCUUCCUGUCUGUCUCUUAGCUAGUUCCAAAUUGUUCUUAUAAUCACUGCUAUAUAGUAUAGUUUGAUAUCUGGGACUGUAAGUCCACAUUCCUUUACAUUUUUUUUUCAUUAUUUCCCUAGAUAUCCUUGCUCUUUUGUUCUUCCAAAUGAACUUUGUUAGGGUUUUUUUCUAAUUCAGUAAUAAAGUUUUUUGGUAGUUCAAUGGGUUUGGUACUAAAUAAGUAAAUACAUUUGGGUAGGAUGGUCAUUUUUAUGACGUUAGCUCAUUCUACCCAUGAGCAAUUAAUGUUUUUCCAAUUGUCUAGAACUAGAUUUUUUUAAACAUUAUUUUAUUUGGACAUUUCCAAAUAUUAUUCAUUAAAGACAAAGGUAAUUUUCUUUUCCUCCCCUCCUCCCCCCACCUCUCCCGUAGCUGAUGUGCAAUUCCACUGGAUAUCACAUGUGUUCUUGAUUCCAGCCCAUUUCCAUGUUGUUGGUAUUUGCAUUAGAGUGUUCAUUUAGAGUCUCUCCUCAGACAUGUCCCCUAUACCCCUGUAGUCAAGCAGUUUCUUUUCCUUGGUGUUUUUACUCCCACAUUUUGUCCUCUGCUUGUGGAUAGUGUUUUUUAUCCUACAUCCCUGCAGAUUGUUUAGAGACAUUGCAUUGCCACUAAUGGAGAAGUCCAUCAUGUUCGAUUGUACCACAGUGUGUCAGUCUCUGUGUACAGUGUUUUCCAGGUUCUGCUCCUUUCGCUCUGCAUCACUUCCUGGAGGUUGUUCCAGUCUCCAUGUCAUUCUUCCACUUUAUUAUUCCUUUUAGCGCAAUAGUAUUCCAUCACCAAUGUAUACCACAAUUUGUUCAGACAUUCUCCAAUUGAAGGGCAUCCCCUCAUUUUCCAAUUUUUUGGCCACCACAAAGAGUGCAGCUAUGAAUAUUCUUGUACAAGAAGUCUUUUUCCUUAUUUUCUCCUUGGGGUACAAACCCAGCAUUGCUAUGGCUGGAUCAAAGGGGAGACAGUCUUUUAUCGUCCUUUGGGCAGAGUUCCAAAUUGUCCUCCAGAAUGGUUGGAUCAAUUCACAUCCCCACCAGCAAUAAACUAAUGUCCUGACUUUGACACAUCCCCUACAGCAUUCAUUAUUUUCCGUUGCUGUCAUGUUAGCCCAUCUGCUAGGUGUGAGGUGAUACCUCAGAGUUGUUUUGAUUUGCAUCUCUCUGAUUAUAAGAGAUUUAGAACACUUUUUCAUGUGCUUAUUAAUAGUUUUGAUUUCUUUGACUGAAAAUAGCCUAUUCAUGUCCCUUGCCCAUUUAUCAAUUGGAAAAUGGCUUGAUUUUUUGUACAAUUGAUUUAGCUUUUUGUAAAUUUGAGUAAUUAGACCUAUGUCAGAGGUUUUUAUGAAGAUUGUUUCCCAAUUUGUUGCUUCCCUUCUGAUUUUAUUUACAUUGGUUUGUUUGUACAAACCUUUUUAAUAUGAUGUAGUCAAAAUUAAUUAUUUUAUAUUUUGUGACUCUAAGUCUUGCUUGGUUUUAAAGUCUUUCCCUUCCCAAAGAUCUGACAUGUAUACUAUUCUGUGUUCACCUAAUUUACUUAUAGUUUCCUUCUUUAUAUUCAAGUCAUUCACCCAUUUUGAAUUUAUCUUGGUGUUGGGUAUGAAGGGUUGAUCCAAACCUAAUCUCUCCCAUACUGUCUUCCAAUUUUCCCAUUAGUUUUUAUCAAAUAGUGGAUUUUUGUCCCAGAAGCCGGGAUUUGGGGUUUAUCAUAUACUUUCUUGCUGAGGUCACUUUCCCCAAGUCUAUUCCACUGUUCUUCCUUUCUGUCUCUUAGAGAGUACCAAAUUGUUUUUAUGACUGCUGCUUUAUAAUAUAGUUCGAGAUCUGGGACUGCAAGGCCCCCUUCCAUUGUACUGUUUUUUCAUGAUUUCCCUGGAUAUCCUUGAUCCUUUGUUCUUCCAAAUGAACUUUCUUAUGGUUUUUUCUAAAUCAGUAAAAAACACAUUUUGGAAGUUCAGUGGGUAUGGCACUAAAUAGAUAAAUAAGUUUGGGUAGGAUGUUCAUUUUUAUUAUAUUGGCUUGUCCUACCCAUGAGCUUUUAAUGUUUUUCCAGUUGCUCAAGUCUAGUUUUAUUUGUGUGGAGAGUGUUUUGUAGUUGUGUUCAUAUAAUUCCGGUGUUUGUCUCAGGAGAUAGAUUCCUAAGUAUUUUAUUUUGUCUAAGGUGAUUUUGAAUGGGAUUUCUCUUUCUAGUUAUUGCUGCUGAGCUGUGUUGAAAAUAUAUAGAAAUUCUGAUGACUUAUGCGGGUUUAUUUUGUAUCCUGCAACUUUGCAAAAGUUGUUGAUUAUUUCAAUUAGCUUUUUGGUUGAAUCUCUAGGAUUCUUUAAGUAGACCAUCACAUCAUCCACAAAGAGCAAUAACUUGGUCUCCUCUUUGCCUAUUUUAAUGCCUUCAAUUUCUUUUUCUUCUCUAAUUGCUACUGUUGUUUCUAGUACAAUGUCAAAUAGUAGAGGUGAUAAUGGGAAUCCUUGUUUCAUGCCUGAUCUUAUUGGGAAUGCAUCUAGUUUAUCCCCAUUGCAGAUGAUGUUAGCUGAUGGUUUUAGAUAUAUACUGUUUAUUAUUUUUAGGAAUGACCCUUCUAUUCCUAUGCUUUCUAGUGUUUUUAAUAGGAAUGGGUAUUGUAUUUUAUCAAAGGAUUUUUCUGUGUCUAUUGAAGUAAUCAUGUGAUUUUUGUUGGUUUGCUUGUUGAUAUGGUCAAUUAUGUGGAUGGUUUUCCUAAUAUUGAACCAGCCCUGCAUCCCUGGUAUAAAUCCUACUUGAUAAUGGUGAAUGACCCUUCUGAUCACUUGCUGGAGUCUUUUUGCUAGUAUCUUAUUUAAGAUUUUUGCCUCUAUAUUCAUUAGGGAGAUUGGUCUAUAAUUUUCUUUCUCUGUUUUUGACCUGCCUGGCUUUGGAAUCAGUAUCAUGUUUGUGUCCUAAAGAAUUUGGUAGAACUCCCUCUUUGGUUAUUAUGUUAAAUAGUUUGCAUAGUAUUGGGAUUAGCUGUUCUUUGAAUCUUUGAUAGAAUUCACUUGUGAAUCCAUCAGGCCCUGGGGAUUUUUUCUUAGGGAGUUCUUUGAUGGCCUGUUGGAUUUCAUUUUCUGAUAUGGGAUUAUUUAAGAAUUCUAUUACUUCUUCCAUUAGACUAGGCAGUUUAUAUUUUUUUAAAUAUUCAUCCAUAUCGCAUAGAUUUGUAUAUUUAUUGCCAUAUAAUUAGGCAAAGUAAUUGUUAAUGAUUGCCUUAAUUUCCUCUUCAUUGGAGGUGAUAUCCCUAUUCAUUGGAGUUGAUAUCCCCCUUCUCAUCUUUGAUGCUGUUAAUUUGCUUUUCUUCUUUCCUUUUUUUAAUUAGAUUGACCAGUACUUUGUCUAUUUUGUUUGUUUUUUCAAAGUACCAGCUUCUAGUCUUAUUUAUUAGUUCAAUAAUUCUAUCACUUUCGAUUUUAUUAAUUUCUCCCUUAAUUUUUAGAAUCUCUAGUAUGGUUUUCUUCUGGGGGGUUUUAAUUUGUUUGCUUUCAAAUUUCUUUAGUUGCAUUUCCAAUUCAUUGAUCUCUACCCUCCCUUGUUUGUUAAUAUAUGCACUGCAGGAUAUGAAUUUUCCUCUGAUUACUGCUUUGGCUGCAUCCCAUAAGGUUUGAAAGGAUGUCUCACCAUUGUUACUUUCCUCAAUGAAAUUAUUAAUCAUUUCUAUGAUUUGUUCUCUAACCGAUUUUGGAGUAUCAUAUUAUUUAAUUUCCAAUUAAUUUUUGAUUUGGUUUUCCAUGUACCCUUACCUAUCAUUAUUUUUAUUGCCCUAUGAUCUGAAAAGGCAGCAUUUAUUAUUUCUGCUUUUCUGCAUUUGUAUGCAUUUUUCUGUGACCUAGUGUAUGUCAAUCUUUGUGAAUGUGCCAUGUGGUGCUGAGAAGAAGGUGUAUUCCUUUUUGUCCCUAUUUAUUUUUCUCCAUAUGUCUAUGAACUCUAAUUUUUCUAAGAUUUCAUUCACUUCUUUUACCUCUUUCUUAUUUAUUUUUUAUUUGCUUUAUCUAAAUUUGAUAGUGGUUGGUUCAAAUCUCCCACUAAUAUGGUUUUACUGUCUAUUUCCUGCUUCAGUUCUCCUAGUUUCUCCAUUAGAAAUUUGGGUGCUCCUCACACCCUACACCAAGAUAAAUUCAAAAUUUGUGAAUGACUUGAACAUAAAGAAGGAAACUAUAAGAAAAUUAGGCAAACACAGAAUAGUAUACAUGUCAGACCUUUGGGAAGGGAAAGAUUUUUAAACCAAGCAAGACUUAGAGUCACAAAAUGCAAAAUAAAUAAUUUUGACUAUAUCAAAUUAAAAAGUUUUGUACAAACAAAACCAAUGGAACCAAAAUCAGAAGGAAAGCAACAAAUUGGGAAACAAUCUUCAAAAAACCUUUGACAAAGGUUUAAUUACUCAAAUUUACAAAGAGCUAAAUCAAUUAUACAAAAAAUCAAGCCAUUCUCCAAUUGAUAAAUGGGCAUGGGACAUGAAUAGGCAGUUUUCAGAUAAAGAAAUCAAAACUAUUAAUAGGCACAUGAGAAAGUGUUCUCAAUCUCUUAUAAUCAGAGAGAUGCAAAUUAAAACAACUCUGGUGUAUCAUCUCACACCUAGCAGAUUGGCUAACAUGACAGCAAAGAAAAGUAAUGAAUGCUGGAACGGAUGUGUCAAAGUAGGGACAUUAAUUCAUUGCUGGUGGGGUUGUGUACUGAUCCAACCAUUCUGGAGGGCAAUUUGGAACUAUGGCCAAAGGGCAAUAAAAGACUGUCUACCCUUCGAUCCAGUCAUAGCACUGCUGGGUUUGUACCCCAAAGAGAAAAUAAGAAAAAAGACUUGUAUAAGAAUAUUCAUAGCUGUGCUCUUUGUGGUGGCCAAAAAUUGGAAAAUGAGGGGAUGCCCUUCAGUUGGAGAAUGGCUGAACAAAUUGUGGUAUACAUUGGUGAUGGAAUACUAUUGUGCUAAAAGGAAUAAUAAAGUGGAGGAAUUCCAUGGAGACUGGAACAACCUCCAGGAAGUGAUGCAGAGCGAAAGGAGCAGAACCAGGAAAACACUGUACACAGAGACUGACACACUGUGGUACAAUCAAACGUAAUGGACUUCUACAUUAGUGUCAAUGCAAUGUCCCUGAACAAUCUGCAGGGAUCUAGGAGGAAAAAACACUAUCCACAAGCAGAGGAUAAACUGUAGGAGUAAAAACACCGAGGAAAAGUUAUUGCUUGACUACAGGGGUAGAGGGGACAUGUCUGAGGAGAGACUCUAAAUGAACACUCUAAUGCAAAUACUAACAACAGGGAAAUGGGUUCGAAUCAAGAAAACUUGUGAUACCCAGUGGAAUUGUGCAUCACCUAUGGGAUAGGUGGGGGAGAGGGCGAGAAAAUGAUCUUUGUUUCCAAUGAAUAAUUCUCGGAAAUGACCAAAUAAAAUUUUAUUUUAGAAAAAGAAAUAAAUUUGGGUGCUAUUCUAUUUGGUGCAUACAUGUUGAUGAGUAAUAUUUCCUCAUUAUCUAUAGUCCCUUUUAACAAAAUAUAUUUACCUUCCCUAUCCCUUUUAAUCAGGUCUAUUUUUGCUUUGGCUUUGUCAGAUAUCAUGAUUGCGACUCCUGCCUUCUUUAUAUCAGUUGAGGCCCAGAAGAUCUUACUCCAUCCUUUAAUUCUGACCUUGUGAGUGUCUACCUGCCUCAUGUGUGUUUCUUGAAGACACCAUAUGGUGGGGUUUGGGAUUAUAAUUCAUUCUGCUAUUUGUCUAUGUUUUAUGGGUGAGUUCAUCCCAUUCAUGUUCAAAGUUAUGAUUUUCACUUGUGGACUCCCUGGCAUUUUGAUAUCCUCCCCUAAUUCUGACCUUGCUUCUUUAGCUAUAACCUUUUAAGCCAGUGAUUUACUUUAAAUCAAUCCCCCUAGUCCCCUCCCUUCAUAUGUUUUUCUUUCUAGCCCCUCCCUUUUUGUUCACUUCCACUCCCCCUUUCCUUCAUUCCCUUUUUGUGUUCCUACCCCCUUGGUUUUCCCUUCUCCCUUACCCUUUGGAUACGAUAAAAUUCAAGAUCCCAAUGGAUCUGGAUGUUCUGCCCUCUCAGAGUUGAUUUCACUGAGAGUAAGUUUUAUGUAAUAACUCUCUUCCUCUCCUUCUUAUAGGAGAAUUCUUCCUAUCCCCUUCCCAUGUGUAUCUUUGUAUGAGAAAGAUUAUUCUAUUUAGUUUUUUCCCUAUUUCUUGGAGUAUAUCUUAGUACCAUCAAAGAUUCCCCCCUCCCUUUUUGUUUCUAUCCCCCCUUUCUCCAUAUUAUCUUGACGCCCCAAACUUUCCCUAUGUGUGAUUCUUCUUACUACUCUAAUGAUGCAUACAAUUUUUGAGAGUUACACAUUACAUUUCCCCCCCAUAUUAAUACAUAUAAAUUGAUAUAAAUGUAGUCCUUAUAGAAGAGAGUUUGAAUAAAAGAAAAAAAAUAACAUUUUUCUCCUUUCCCUUUCCUUCAUAUUUACCUUUUCAUGUUUCUCUUGCUCUUUGUGUUUGGAUGUCAAACUUUCCACAGAGCUCUGUUCUUUUCUUUACAAACACUUGGAAAUCUUGUAUUUUGUUGAAUGCCCAUACUUUCCCCUGGAAUUAUAUAGUCAGUUUUGAUGGAUAGCUGAUUCUUGGUUGAAGACCCAGCUCUCUUGCUUUUCUGAAUAUCAUGUUCCAUGCCUUAAUGUCGUUCAGUGUGGAAAUUUCUAGGUCCUGUGUGACCCUGAUUGGUGUUCCUUUAUAUCUACGUUUUCUUUUUCUGGCUUCUUGUAAGAUUUUUUCUUUUGCUUGGAAGCUUUGAAAUUUGGCAUUUACAUUCCUGGGAGUUGUCUUUUGGGGAUUUAGUGUAGAGGGUGUUCUAUGAACUCUUUCAAUGCAUAUUUUGUCCCCUUGUUCUAGAAUCUCUGGGCAGUUUUCUUUGAUGAUAUCUUGUAUUAUGAUAUCAAGAUUACUGUUUAUUUCUGGCUUUUCUGGUAGACCAAUGAUUCUCAGAUUGUCUCCCUUUCCUCUGUUUUCCAGGUCUGUCACCUUGUCAGUGAGAUAUUUUAUGUUAUCUUCUAAUUCUUUAUUCUUUUGACUUUGCUUUAUUAAUUCUUGUUUUUUUUGCAAGAUCAUUGUUUUCCAGUUGCUUGAUUGUGACCUUUAAAGACUGGUUUUUUUUUUUCAGUUUGGUCUUACCUGUUUUUUGAGAAUUUGAGCUGUUUCUGCAUUUGUAUAUUUUGUUCUCUCAGAUUACUGAGUUCCUUUUGCAUUGUUUCCCAUUUUUCCUGCCAUAAGGCUCCCAUCUUUUUGAUAAUUUCCGAUUUAAAUUCUUCAAGAGUUUGUGGAGAAUUUCCACUUCCUUUGGAAGGUUUUGGAGCAUUUGUUUGUGUUUCCUCUUCUAUCUCCUCUUUAUUUUCUAUGUUUGCUCCAUAAAAUGUGUCCAAAGUCACCCCCUUCUUCUUGCUUUUCUUGGUGUUUGGAGGCUUUUGCACUUCUGUACUGUUUGCCAUCUCUGUGUUUUUUCUUCCCCUUUCCAGUCAGAAAUCUGAGUGAGGAGGACUGCCUCUUAGUGUAUCUGUCUGAUGGUCCGAGGCUUUAGCCCCAGGCAGAAUGUCCAUUCUCCGCAGUUGCGCUGUCUUCCUAGGGAAGCUCAGGGUCUGUCCUCCCCUGUCUGCCGGCUUUUCGGGUGUUACUGCUCUCAGUUCCCUCCAGUUGCUUCUCCACUGCCUUACUUCUAUGCUCUGAGCCUGGCACAGCACUGUCCACAAGGUACCUCAGGGCCUUUGCUGGCCCUGAGGUUCCUGUCCUUUCAGAGGGCCCUGCACUCUACGGGGGGAGGGGUCCUGGCCUCCCUGAGCUCUGAGGAUUCCUGAUGGGAUUAGGUUCAGCUGGGUUGAUCUGGAUGUGCCCCGAGGCAAAAAACUCCAGUGAGACUCUGAUGGAAUGACCCAUCCAGGGGGCUACAGGCUCCUCCCGUCUCUCUCAGACUGCUUCCCUGCCUUCUGUGUUGGACGCCCCGAGAUUGGCCCAGAUUACUUUCAACGUGCGCCCUUCAGAACAGCCAUCCCUGAGACCCAUUUUCCGGCCCUGAGGUUCCCGCUGCUGCUGCUGUGGGCUCAGAGCUCUGGGUUGGGAGGGAGGGGUCCUGGGUCCUUCCUUCUGCCUUCCCCUUAGACACGAGUGAUCUAGAAUUCUGGCUUUUGAGGGGGCAUACCUUUUGACUUGAGUCCAAAAGGAGGGUUCCCCGACUCCGUCCUGUUGUUAAGAUUGAAUUUCAGUCCCCUAGGAGCAUUCACUUUGUGAUCAGUAAGGAAAGGUUUUCAGAGGUCUGAACUUUUGCUGCUUCUAAGCCACCAUCUUGACUGGAAGUCCUUAGACUAGUUUUUUAUUUUAUGGAAAGUGUGUUGUAAUUGUGUUCAUAUAGUUGCUGUGUUUGUCUUGGCAGAUAGAUUUCUAAGUAUUUCAUGAUUUUUUUUUCUUCUCUAAUUGCUACUGGUAGUUUUUCUAGUACAAUGUUGAAUAAUAGAGGUGAUAAUGGGCAUCCUUGUUUCACUCCUGAUCUUAUUGGGAAUGCUUCUAGUUUAUCCCCAUUGCAGAUGAUGUUUGCUGAUGGUUUUAGAAAUAUACUGUUUAUUAUUUUUAGGAAAGUCCCUUCUAUUCCUAUGCUUUCUAGUGUUUUCAAUAGAAAUGGGUAUUGAAUUUUAUCAAAGGCUUUUUCUGCAUCUAUUGAGAUAAUCAUGUGAUUUUUGUUGGUUUGCUUGUUGAUAUGGUCAAUUAUGUGGAUGGUAUUCCUAAUACUGAAACGUCCUUGAAUUUCUGGAAUAAAUCCUACCGGGUCAAAAUGAACAAUACUCAUGAUCACUUGCUAGAGUAUUUUUACUGGUAUUCUAUUUAAGAUUUUUGUAUCUAUGUUCAUUAAGGAGAUUGGUCUUUAGUUUUCUUUCUCUCUUUUUGACGUGCUUUGCUUUGGAAUCAGUAUCAUAUUUGUGUGAUAAAAGGAAUUUAGUAGAAAUUUUUCUUUGCUUAUUCUGUCAAGUAGUUUGUAUAAUAUUGGGAUUAGUUGUUCUUUGAAUGUUUUUUAUAUUUUAUUUGUGACUCCUUCUGGUCUUGGGGAUUUUUUCUUAGAGAGUUAUUUGAUGGUUUGUUCAAUUUCUUUUUCUGAUAUGGGGUUGUUUAGGUUUUCUGUUUCUUCCUCUGUUAAUCUAGGCAAUUUAUAUUUUUGUAAAUUUUUAUCCAUAUCACCUAGAUUGCCAUAUUUACUGCCAUAUAAUUGGGCAUAAUAGUUUUUAAUGAUUGCCUUAAUUUCCUCUUCAUUAGAAGUGAUGUCUCUCUUUUCAUCUUGGAUACUGUCAAUUUGGUUUUCUUCUUUCCUUUUUUAAGUACCAGCUUCUAGUCUUAUUGAUUAAUUCAAUAGUUCUUUCACUUUCAGUUUUAUUAAUUUCUCCUUUGAUUUUUAGGAUCUCUUAUUUAGUCUUCAUCUGAGGAUUUUUAAUUUGUUCACUUUCUAGUUUUUUUAAUUUGAAUGCCGAAUUCAUUGACCUCUCCCCUCCCUAAUUUGUUAAUAUAUGAAUUCAGGGAUAUAAAUUUUCCCCUGAGUACUGUUUUGGCUGUAUCCCAUUGAUUUUGAAAGGAUGUCUCAUCAUUGUAAUGGUCUUCAAUGAAAUUAAUUGUUUCUAUGAUUUUUAUUUAACUGAUUUUGGAGAAUCGUAUUAUUUAAUUUUUAAUUAUCUUUUUUAUUUUCUCCUCCAUGCACCCUUACUAAUUAUUAUUUUCAUUGCAUCGUGAUAUGAGAAGGUUACAUUUAUUAUUUCUUCUCUUUUGCACUUGUUUGUUGAGUUUUUAGGCCCUAGUACAUGGUCCAUCUUUGUGAAUUCACCAUGUGCUACUACAGAGAAGGUGUAUUCCUUUUUUUCCCUAUUUAUUUUUUUCUACUUAUGUACUAACUCUAAUUUUUCUAAGAUUUCCUUCACUUCUCUUACCUCUUUCUUAUUUAUUUUUUUGGUUUGAUUCAUCUGGUUCUGAUAGAGGAAGUUUCUGGUCUCCAACUAGUUUAGUUUUUCUGUCUGUUGCAUCCUUGAGCUCCACUAGUUUUUCUUUAGAAAUUUGGAUGCUAUGCCAUUUGGUGCAUACAUGUUGAGUACUGCUAUUUCCUUAUUUUCUAUUCUCCCUUUUAUCAGGAUGUAAUUUACCUUCCCUAUCUCUUUUGACUCAAUCUAUUUUUUACUUUGGCUUUGUCAGAUAUCAUGAUUGUGACUCUUGCUUUUGUUUUACCAGUUGAUACCAAAUAGUUUUCCUCCACCUGCUUACUUUUACCCUAUGUGUGUCUACCUUCCUCAUGUGUGUUUCUUGUAGACAGAAUAUUGUAGGGUUUUGGAUUCUAAUCCACUCUGCUAUUCACUUGCAUUUUGUGGGUGAGUUCAUUCUAUUCACAUUCAGAAUUAUGAUUACCAGCUCUGUAUUGCCCAGCAUUUUGAUUUCUACUCUUCCUUCUUUCACUAUUUCCUGCUCUACCAGUGUUUUGUUUUUAAUCAGUCCCCCUAAUUCCCAACCUUUUCUACCACCACUCCCUUCUUAUUCCCCUCUUAUUUUCUUUACAAUCUUUUUAAACUACCCCCAUCCUCGCCCUCCCUUGUACCAGUCCAUUUGUUACCCUUCUACUUCUCUAUAGUGCGCAAAUCAAUUCUCUGCCCCAUUAUAUUUAAUUGUUCUUCCCUCUUAAUUUCAAUGUGUGUACGAAUUGAAUAUUUCCUGUCUCCAACUUCUUUACCCUUACAGUAUAUUGAUGUUCUCCACCCCCCCCAACAUGAACUUCUUUGUGACGUAUAAAUUUACCACAUUUUGUUUCUUUUCCCAUUUCUCUUGGUAUUAACCUCUUUUUUAACUCUAGUUGUAUAUAUAUACAUAUUUAUAUAUACAUAUAUAUAUACAUAUUUAUGUUUUGCCAUUUCAUCCUAUACAGUUUGUUGCUGUUCCCUGUAAGUAUAAUUCUUCUAGCUACCCAGCUGAUAACAAUUUUAUCCCUUCUUUGCUCCCCGUAUUUGGCUGUGCUCUUGCUCCUCUCAUUUUGUUUUGGUUUUGGGGCUGUCAGUCUCCCCUCUUGGAGCUUUGUCAGAUCUCUUGGUACAGUCUCUAGGGGAGGAAAGUUAGCCUCCCUGUCCUCUGGAGGCUUUUGAUUGGAUUGAGUUCACUUGGGUUGGGCUGUAUGUGGUAUGAAGCACUGAGGCUCUGAAGACUCCUGGAAGGCUGGGCCGCCCAGGCUCUCUCCAGUUCUCUCCAGUUCUCUCCAGCUGCUUCUCCGUGGUCCGCAAGUGCCUAUGCCUGCCUCCCUAAACUCUGAGGAGUUCUGAUGGGAUUAGUUCAACUGGAUUGGUCUGGAUGUGCCUGAGGCAAGGGUGAGACUGGAGCCCAAUGGAGGGACCCAGCCACCGCCUGUUUCUCCCUGACUUCCUCCCCUCUGUCCAAGCUGGAUGCUCCGAGCCCGGCUCCCCGCUGCUCACAAGGUAGACCCUGAAAACCAGCACCUUUGCCUGCUCAGAGGUUCCCACUGCUGCUGGGGGCUCAGCCCUCCGGGUUGUGGGGGAGGGGUCCUGGGACCUUUGCUCUGCCUUCCCCUUAGCCCUGAGUAUUCUCGGAUUCCAGCUUUUGGGGGGGGCGUACCUUUUGAUUUGAGUCCAGAAGGAGGGUUCCCCUCUUCUGUCCUGUUGUUCAGAUUGAAUUUCGGUGCCCUAGGAGCAUUCAGUCUGUAUCGGUAAGGAAGGGUCUUCCACGAGGUCUGAACUUUUGCUGCUUGCUAAGCUGCCAUCUUCAGGUGAUAACAACUUUAAAGAGUUACCAAUAUCCUCUUUUCUUGUAGGAAUACAAAUCAUUCUAACUUAUUGGGUCCCUUUUAAAAAGUUUUUUGUUUGUUUUUUUCCCCUUUCUUAGUUACCUUUUGGUGAUUCUCUUGAUUUCUGUGUCUGGGCUUCAAAUUUUAUGUUCAAGUCUGGUCUGUUCUUUAGGAAUGCUUAAAAGUCUUCUAUUUUAUUAAAUGACCAUACUUUCCCCUGCAAGAAUAUAGUCAGUUUUGCUGGGUACUUGAUUCUUGGUUGUUGAUCUAGUUUCCUUGCUUUCUGGAAUGUCAUAUUUCAUGCCUUUCGGUCCUUCAGUCUAAAUGUAGCCAGAUCCUAUGAUAUCCUCACUGUGGUCCCAUGGUAUCUGAAUGACUUCUUCUUAGCAGCUUUUAAUAAUUUUUCCUUAGGCUGGUAGUUCUUGAAUUUGACUAUAAUAUUCCUGGUCAUUGCCAAUUCAGAAUGAAAUAUAGAUCACUAUGGAUUCUUAUAUCUCCACUUUUCCCUCUUGCUCAAGAAUGUUGGAGCAGUUUUCUUGGAUAAUUUCCUGUAGAAAGAUGUCCAGGUUUUUCCUGUUGUCAUGUUCUUCUGGUAGUCCAAUAAUUCUUAAAUUAUCUCUCCUGGCUCUGCUUUCAAGACUUCUCUUUUUGUGAAUGGGUUGUUUCAUAUUUUCCUCAAUUUUUUCAUUCUUUUGAUUUUGUUUUAUAGAUUCUUGUUGCCUUGUGUAGUCAUUUCUUCUAGUUGUUGGAUUCUAGUUUUUAAAGACUGAAUUUCAUCCCUGACUUUUUGAUUAUUGUGCUCCUUCUGAUCUUUCAUCUUCUUUGCCUCAUUUUCAAGAUGGUUGAUUUUGGAUUUCAAGACAUUGCUUCCUCAUUUUAGUUCAAGUGCCUCUGUUUCAAGAUGAUUUAUCUUGCUUUUAAAUUUAUUUUCUAAAUUGUCUUUAGCCCUCUCUUAAUUGUUUUUUGAAUUGUAGUUUGAGUUCUUCCAAAGCUUGGGCCCACCUCGCUGGAGUUUCUGUGUUUUUGCUUGGGGUUGCUUGGUCCUCCUCUGCUCCAUUUGUUCUUUGUUUUUGUUUUUUGUUUUUUUACUUUUAAACAUUAUUUUAUUUGGUCAUUUUCAAACAUUAUUCAUUAGAAACAAAGAUCAUUUUCUUUUCCUCCCCCCCUCUCCGCUCCCGCCACCCCUCCCAUAGCCAAUGCGCGAUUCCACUGGAUAUCACAUGUAUCCUUGCUCCGAACCCAUUUGCAUGUUGUUGGUAUUUGCAUUAGGGUGCUCAUUUAGAGUCUCUCCUCAUUGAUAUCCCCUCCACCCCUGUAGUCAAGCAGUUGCCUUUCCUCGGUGUUUUUACUCCCACAGUUUAUCCUCUGCUUGAAGAUAGUGUUUUUUCUCCUAGAUCCCUGCAGAUUGUUCAGGGACAUUGCAUUGACACUAAUGGAGAAGCCCAUUAUGUUCGAUUGUGCCACAGUGUUUCAGUCUCUGUGUAUAAUGUUCUCCUGGCUCUGCUUCUUUCACUCUGCAUCACUUCCUGGAGGUCGUUCCAGUCUCCAUGGAAUUCCUCCACUUUAUUAUUCCUUUUAGCACAAUACUAUUCCAUCACCAACAGAUACCAGUUUGUUCAGCCAUUCCCUAAUUGAAGGGCAUCCCCUCAUUUUCCAAUUUUUUGCCACCACAAAGAGCGUAGCUAUGAAUAUUCUUGUACAAGUCUUUUUCCUUAUUAUCUCUUUGGAGUACAAACCCAGCAGUGCUAUGGCUGGAUCGAAGGGCAGAGAGUCUUUUAUUGCCCUUUGGCCAUAGUUCCAAAUUGCCCUCCAGAAUGGUUGGAUCAGUUCACAACCCCACCAGCAGUGGAUUAAUGUCCUGACUUUGACACAUCCCCUACAGCAUUCAUUACUUUCCUUUGCUGUCAUGUUAGCCAAUCUGCUAGGUGUGAGGUGGUACCUCAGAGUUGUUUUGAUUUGCGUCUCUCUGAUUAUAAAGAUUUAGAAGACUUUUUCAUGUGCUUAUUAAUAGUUUUGAUUUCUUUAACUGAAAACUGCCUAUUCAUGUCCCUUGCCCAUUUUUCAAUUGGAGAAUGGCUUGAUUAUUUGUACAACUGGUUUAGCUCUUUAUAAAUUAGUUUAGCUCUUUAUCAAUUUGAGUUAUUAGACCUUUGUCAGAGGUUUUUGUUAUGAAGAUUGUUUCCCAAUUUGUUUCUUCCAUUCUAAUUUUAGUUACAUAGUUUUUGUACAAAACCUUUUUAAUUUGAUGUAGUCAAAAUUAUUUAUUUUACAUUUUUUACUCUUUCUUAGUCUUACUUGGUUUAAAAAUCUUUCCCUUCCCAAAGGUCUGACAUGUAUACUAUUCUGUGUUCACCUAAUUUACUUAUAGUUUCCUUUUUAUGUUCAAGUCAUUCCCCCAUUUUGAAUUUAUCUUGGUAUUGGGUAUGAGGUCGAAACCUAAUCUCUCCCACACUGUCUUCCAAUUUUCACAGCAGUUUUUAUCAAAUAGUGGAUUUUUGUCCCAAAAGCUGGGAUCUUUGUGUUUGUCAUAGACUGUCUUGCUGAGGUCACUUACCCUAAGUCCAUUCCACUGAUCCUCCUUUCUGUCUCUUAGAGAGUACCAAAUUGUUUUGAUGACCACUGCUUUAUAGUGUAGUUUCAGAUCUGGGACUGAAAGUCCCCCUUCCAUUGUACUUUUUUUUUCAUAAUUUCCCUGGAUAUCCUUGAUCCUUUGUUCUUCCAAAUGAACUUUUUUAUGGUUUUUUCUAAUUCAGUAAAAAAGUUUUUUGGAAGUUCAAUGGGUAUGUCACUAAAUAGAUAGAUAAGUUUCAGUAGGAUGGUCAUUUUUAUUAUGUUAGCUCAUCCCACCCACGAGCAAUCAAUGUUUUUCCAAUUGUUUAGGUCAUUUUAAUUGUGUGGAGAGUGUUUUGUAGUUGUGUUCAUAUAGGUCCUAUGUUUGUCUCUGCAGAUAGAUUCCUAAGUAUUUUAUGUUGUCUAGGCUGACUUUAAAUGGAAUUUCUAUUUCUAAUUCUUCCUGCUGAGAUCUGUUGGAAAUAUAUAAAAAUGCUGAUGACUUAUGUGGGUUUAUUUUGUAUAGUAGUUUUGACUAGUACCUUGUCAAUUUUAUUUGGUUUUUCAAAAUACCAGCUUCUAGUCUUAUUUAUUAAAUCAAUAGUUCUUUGACUUUCAAUUUUAUUGAUUUCUCCUUUAAUUUUUAGGAUCUCUAAUUUAGUCUUCAUCUGAGGAUUUUUAAUUCAUUCACUUUCUAGUUUUUUAAUUUGUAUACCCAAUUCAUUGACCUCUGACCUUCUUAAUUUGUUAAUAUAUGAACUCAAGGAUAUAAAUUUUCCCCUGAGUACUGCUUUGGCUGCAUCCCAUAGGUUUUGAAAAGCUGUCUUAUCGUUGUCAUUUUCUUCAAUGAAGUUAUUAAUUGUUUCUACUAUUUGUUAUUUAACUAGCCGGUUUUGGAGGAUCAUAUUGUUUAAUUUCCAAUUAAUUUUUUAUUUACCUCUCCAUGUACCCUUACUAAUUAUUAUUUUUAUUGCAUUGUGGUCUGAGAAGGUUGCAUUUAUUAUUUCUGCUCCUUUUACUUGUUUUCAAUGUUUUUAUGCCCUAGUACAUGGUCAAUUUUUGUGAAUGUAUUUCUUUGUGACAUAUAAAUUUACCCCCAUUUGUUUCUUUUCCUAUUUCUUUUAGUAUUAACAUCUUUUUUUCUCUUGUAUACACACACACAUUUUUGUAUGCAUACAUCUACAUACCUAUUUAUGCCUUGUCCUUUUAUCCCUUACAGUUUGUCACUGUUCCCUCUAAGUGUAAUUCUUCUAGCUACUCAGGUGAUAACAAUAGUUUUUUAGAGUUACCAAUGACUUUUUCUUACAGGGAUACAUAUAAUUUUAACUGAUUGAGUCUCUUAAAUUUUUUGUGUGUUGUUUUGUUUUGUUUUUCUUUUUUCCCUCUUUUUAAAUUACUUUUUGAUGAUUUUCUUGAGUGUUGUGCUUGGACAUCAAAGUUUAUGUUCAGGUCUGGUCUUUACAAAUUCUUCGAAUUCUUCUGUUUUGUUGAAUGACCAUACUUUCUUCUGCAAGAAUAUAGUCAGGUUUGCUGGGUGGUUGAUUCUUGGUUGUAGACCUAGUUCCCUUGCUUUCUGGAAUAUCAUAUUCCUUUCAGUCCUUCAGUGUGGAUGCAGCCUGAUCCUGAGUUAACCUCACCGUGGUUCCAUGGUAUCUGAAUGACUUCUUCUUGGCAGCAUGUAAUAUCCUUUCUUUGGUCUGAUAGUCCUUGAAUUUGGCAAUAACAUUCCUGGGUGUUGUCAAUUGAGGAUUAAGUACAGGAAGUGAUCUGUGGAUUCUUUCAAUCUCCACUUUUCCCUCUUGUUCUAGGAUACUGGGACAGUUUUCUUGAACAAUUUCCUGUAGUAUUAUGUCCGGGCUUUUUCUUUUGUCAUGAUCUUCUGGUAGGCCAAUAAUUCUUAAAUUGUCUUUAUAAUUAUAAUUGACAGCUUCUAUCCAGGCAAUUAACAAAGAGCAAAUGGGUCAAAAUGGCGGCUUGGGAGCAGCAAUAGUUCAGACCUCUGAAUACCCUUCCUUACCAAUCACAAAAUGAACACUCCUAGGGAACUGAAAAUCAAACCUAACAAGAAAACAGAUGCAAGGAACCCUCCUGUGGACUCAAUCCAAAAGGCACACCCCCCCCCCAAAGCCGGAAUCUGAGAAUACUUGGUUUUAAAGGGAAGGCAGAAGGAAGGUCACAGGACCCCUCCCCCCACCCACCCAGAGUGCUGAGCCCCCAGCAGUAGUGGGAACCUCUGAGCAGUCAAAGGUGCUGGUCUAGAGGGGUGUACCUUGUGGGAAGGGCUGUGCCAGACUCAGAGCAUCCAACACAGCUGGCAGGGAAGCAGCCAGGGAGAGAUCCAAGAGCUGGGAGCCUGGGCGGCUGGUUCCUUCCAUUUGGCUCAAGCCAUAAUGGACGUUUUUGCCUCAGGGCACACAUAGCUCAAACCAGUUGAACUUAAUCCAGUCAGGAGUCCUCAGAGCUCAGGAAGGACAGGACCCCUCCUCCCCCCCCCCCAGAAUGCUUGGCCUCCACAAGGACAGGAACCUCUGGGUGGUCAAAAGCACUGCACUAGAGAAUGUACCCUGUAAGCAGAGCUGUGCCAAGCUCAGAGCAUUGAACACAGGUGGUGGGGAAGCAGCUGGAGAGAACUGGAGAGCGCCUUGGUGGCUGAGACCUUCCAUUUGGCUCCAGCCUUCCAGAAGGUUUUGGCCUCAGAGGACUUAGGGUCCAACACAGCUGAACUUAAUCCCAUCAAAAGCCUCCAGAGGAUAGGGAAGCUCAAACUCCUUCAGAGACUGCACUGAGAGGUCUGACAAAGCUCCAAGAGGGGAGACUGACAGCCCCAAAACAAAAAAAAAGAAAGAAAGAAAAUGAGAGGAGCAAGAGCACAGACAAAUACAGGGACCAAAGAAGGGGCAAAUAUGAGCAAAUAGCAGAAAAAGAAGAAACAAAUUACAAUAGAAAUAUUCUACACAGCCAACGGAAGAGAGGGGUAGAGAUCAGCAAACGAUAAUCUUAAACAGCUUACUGACACACCCUCUGUCUAUGUAUACUUCUAACUAUUACAAUGAUAAAAAUGUGUAAGAGUUGUAGAUAUCUUUCCAUAUAGGAAUAUAAAUAAUUUGACCUUUUUGAAGCUCUUACAUUUUUUCUUUUUCUUAUUUACCUUUUUAUGCUUCUCUUGAAUUUUGUAUUUUGAUACCAGAUUUUCUGUGUACUUCUUACCUUUAAUCAAGAAUGCUUGGAAAUAUAUUUUAUUAAAUAACCAUCCUUUCCCCUGAAAGAUAUUACUCAGUUUUGAUGGGUAGCUGAUUCUUGGUUUUAAAACCAGUUCCCUUGCCUUAUAGAUUAUCAUAUUCCAAGCCUUCUAAUCUUUACUUCAAUAUGGAUUCUGCCAGAUCCUGUGUAAUUCUGACUGGGGCGCUGUGACAUUUGGAAUUGUUUCUUUUUGACUGUUUGCAGUAUUUUCUCCUUGACCUGGGAACUCUUGAACUUGGCUAUGAUAUUCCUGGGAGUUGUCGUUUGGGAAUUUAUUACAGAAGGUGAUCUGUGGAUUCUCUUGAUUUCUAUUUUACCCUCUUGUUCAAGAAUAUCAGGGCAGUUUUCUUUGAUAAUUUCUUGUAAUAUGAUGUCUAGGCUUUUUUAAAAAUCAUGACUUUCAGGUAGUCCAAUCAUUUUUAAAUGAUCUCUCCUAGAUCUAUUUUCCAGGUCAGUUGUUUUUUCAAUGAUAUAUUUCACAUUUUCUUUUAUUUUUUCAUUCUUUUGAUUUGAUUUUAUUGUUUCUGGAUGUCACAUGAAGUCAUUAACUUCUAUAUUUGCCCAAUAAUAUAUUUUUUAAUUUUUUUUGGUUACAAUACUCACUUUAUUUCCCUCCCUCCCCUCCACCCACCCUCCCAUAGCCGACACACAAUUUCAUUAGGUAUUACUUGUGUCCUUGAUCAGAACCUAUUUCCAGGUUGCUGGUGUUUGCAACAGGAUGUUCAUUUAGAGUCUACAUCCCCAACCAUAUGCACUUGAAACCAUGUAAUCAAGUAGUUGUUUUCCUUCUGUGUUUCUACUCCCACAGUUUUUCCUCUGAAUGUGUACAGCAUUUUUUUCUCAUAGAUCCCUCUGAGUUGUUCAGGAUCACUGCAUUACCACUAAUGGAGAAGUCCAUUACAUUCGAUUGUACCACAGUGUAUCAGUCUCUGUAUACAACGUUCUCCUGGGUCUGCUCCUCUCACUCUGCAUCAAUUCCUGGGGAGUUGUUCCAGUUCCCAUGGAAUUCCUCCACUUUAUUAUUCCUUUGAACACAAUAGUAUUCCAUCACCAAUGUAUACCACAAUUUGUUCAGCCAUUCCCCAAUUGAAGGGCAUCCCCUCAUUUUCCAAUUUUUUGCCACCACAAAGCAAAGCUAUUAAUAUUCUUUUACAUGUCUUUUUCCUCAUGAUCUCUUUGGGGUAUAAACCCAGCAAUACUAUGGCUGGAACAAAGGGCAGACAGUCUUUUAGUGCCCUUUGGGCAUAGUUCUAGAUUGUCCUCCAGAAAGGUUGGAUCAAUUCACAACUCCAACAGCAAUGAAUUAAUGUAUUGACUUUGCCACAUCCCCUCCAGCAUUCAUUACUUUCCUUUUCUGUCAUGUUAGCCAAUAUGGUAGGUAUGAUGUAAUACCUCAGAGUUGUUUUGAUUUGCAUUUCUCUGAUUAUUAGAGAUUUAGAGCACUUUUUCAUGUGCUUAUUAAUAGUUUUGAUUCCUUUAUCUGAGAACUGCCUAUUCAUGUCCCUUGCCCAUUUAUCAAUUGGAGAAUGGCUUGAUUUUUUGUACAAUUGAUUUAGCUCUUUGUAAAUUUGAGUAAUUAAAACUUUGUCAGAGAUUUUUAUGAAGAUUGUUUCCCAAUUUGUUGCUUCCCUUCUGAUUUUAGUUACAUUUGUUUUGUUUGUUCAAAAGCUUUUUAAUUUGAUGUAAUCAAAAUUAUUGAUUUUACAUUUUGUAAUUUUUUUCUAGCUCUUGCUUGGUUUUAAAGUCUUUCCUUUCCCAAAGACCUGACAUGUAUACUAUUCUGUGUUUGCCUAAUUUUCUUAUAGUUUCCUUCUUUAUAUUCAGAUCAUUCACCCAUUCUGAGUUUAUCUUGGUGUAGGGUGUGAGAUGUUGAUCCAAACCUAAUCUCUCCAAUACUGUCUUUCAGUUUUCCCAGCAGGUUUUAUCAAAUAGUGGGUUUUGGUCCCCAAAAGCUGGGAUCUUUUGGCUUAUCAUAGAUUAUCUUGCUGAGUUCAUUUACCCCUAGUCUAUUCCAGUUAUUCUCCUUUCUGUCUCUUAGCCAGUACCAAAUUGUUUUGAUGACCACUGCUUUAUAAGUAUAGUUUGAGAUCUGGGACAGCAAGUCCUCCUUCCUUUGAAUAUUUUUCAUUAUUUCCCUGGAUAUCCUUGAUCUUUUGUUCUUCCAAAUGAACUUUGUUAUGGUUUUUUCUAAUUCAGUAUAAAAUUUUUUUGGUAGUUCAAUAGGUAUGGCACUAAAUAAGUAAAUUAAUUUGGGCAGGAUUGUCAUUUUUAUUGUGUUAGCUCAUCCUACCCAUAAACAAUAAGUGUUUCUCCAAUUAUUUAGGUCUAGUUUUAAUUGUGUGGAGAGUGUUUUGUAGUUGUGUUCAUAUAGUUCCUGUGUUUGUUUUGGCGGAUAUAUGCCCAAGUAUUUUAUAUUGUCUAGGUGAUUUUAAAUGUGAUUUUAAGUGGAAUUUCUCUAAUUCUUGCUGAGGAGAUGGGUUGGAGAUAUAUAGAAAUGCUGAUGACUUAUGUGGAUUUACUUUGUAUUCUGCAACUUUGGUAAAGUUGUUGAUUAUUUAAACUAGCUUUUUGGUUGAUUUUCUAGGAUUCCUUAAGUAUACUAUCAUAUCAUCCUCAAGGAGUGAUAGCUUGGUCUCCUAAUUGCCAAUUCUAAUACCUUCCAUUUCUUUUUCUUCUCUAAUUUCUACUGCUAGUGUUUCUAGUACAAUGUUAAAUAAUAGAGGUGAUAAUGGGCAUCCUUGUUUCAUGCCUGAUCUUAUUGGGAAGGCUUCUAGUUUAUCCCCAUGGCAGAUGAUGUUUGCUAAUGGUUUUCAGACAUAUAGUGUUUAUUAUUUUGAUGAAAGGCUCUUGUAUUCCUAUACUUUCUAGAGUUUUCAAUAGGAAUGAGUGUUGUAUUUUAUCAAAGGUUUUUUCUGCAUCUAUUGAGAUAAUCAUGUGAUUUUUGUCAAUUUGUUUCUUAUUAUGGUCAACAAUGUGGAUGGUUUUCCUAAUAUUGAAUCAUCCUUGCAUUCCUAGUAUGAAUCCUUGUAAAGGUUGAAUAUUAUGGUUGAGACUGAAAAAACUUAAAUUUAAAUGGUUGCCAAGGGAAAUCCCAAAUAAUAAAAUACCUGUCAGCUGCCAAAUUUUUUUGGUGAUUUAAUUACAACAGGAUGAAGAAAAUAUUAGAGGGAAAGAGAAAGAGGGAGAGAAGGAAAGAGGGAGAGAAGGAAAGGAGUUUAACUCAGAACCACUCUGCCUCAGGCUGAGCCAAGGCGGGCGCUAAGGCCUUGGAAAGCCAAGGCAAAGAAAGGGGUCAGUCCUUAUCACUCAUGUGACAAGUCUGAAGGAAAGCUGUCUGUCGGGCUCCUCCAAGUUCAAGCUCCAGGAUCUAACUGAACUCUAACCCUCUCCACAGGAAGUCACAAGAACUCCAGAGGCUGUUCUCUGCCUUACUUCCUGCAUCUCACAUGUGCCAAUUGUGGCUCGAGCUUGACUUAGGACAGCCCAGAGGUCUGUCCUUUUUUUGCACAUGUCUGUUGAAGGCCAUUUUCUCAGAUAAUUAAAUCUUGAGUUUAAUGCAGACCUUCCUAAUCUUGUUAAACUAAGAAGGGAGGAGAAAUGUAGUUUCCAAGACCUGAUUCUUUAUUCCAAGUAUCUCUAUUGUUAUUGAUCAGGAAAUAGCUAAAUCAGAUCUUCUAAAGAAUGAUCUGAUUAGGGUGGAAUAGUUUUGAAAAUCCCAAUUUCCCCUGAGGCCCGAGGAAGACUAGUCUCUCCAAUGGGUCUUGUAAACAUACCUACUAUGAAAUUACAAUAAUUAGACAUAAGGGGAAAAUAGGAGAGAUAGAGAGAGAGAGACAACAAAACCAAUGUUUUGCUGGGUGCAUUGACAAAAGCCAAUUAGGGGGCAGUCCCCUUUGGAAGAAGAGUGUACAUUCAAAAUAAAUUCAAUCAACCUUCAGUUCAAUCAACCACACCCCAAGGUUCAUUCUUCAUCUUGAUGUAAUAUAGGUUUUUUGGCAUCUUUCUGCAACAGUUCAUUCUCUGGAUUUAGGGGUUAGCAAGCUUCUUCCUUGAGGAUCUUUCUUGAACAAAAAAAUUUCAAAAUCUUGGAUUUUUAUUACAAUACAAUCCCCCUCCCUGAAGUGGGUGUUAAAAAAUUCAGUUCAGCUAAGGAUGCAUUGUUGAGUUAUGGGGGUGUAUGAGUCAGUUAUUAAAAGAAUUCAAAAACAAUAAAAACAACACAAACCAAAAAACAAAAACAAAAAAUUUAUAAAGGGAAAAAUAUGGAAGAAAGUUAAACCUUUGGGAGGAAGAAAAAAUAAAAUAAAAAAAUCAGAAUCAAAAUACCAAAAUCUAUGUAUAUAAAAUGUUGAGUAAGCAAGAAUAAAUUCAUAAUGGGUCCUUGUACAGGUCCAAUUUAAAGUAAUUUCUAUCCCACAAGUCUGUAGGACAGAAUGCAGUAAUAUUUCCCUUACCCAUUUGCAGCCAAGACUACAGGUAGUUGCCAUACUAUAAGAAGGAAAGGAACUAGAAUUCUAUUUUGAUAGGGAAGAGUCAUUCCCUGGUCUGAUGUUUAGUAAUUCUCAGAGAUAUAGGGAGCCAGCAUGAUAGUCAAAUUUUGGUACUUGUAUGAGUACUUCACAAAGAGUGUAGAUACAAGGAAGUCCUGCGACUUAACAUAUGUCAAGCUCCGUAACCUCAAGUCCACAUUAGUAUUUCCUGUGUGCUCUUCUGGCACUAUUCAGGUUAAGUCUGUGUUCCUUGUUUUUAUCCCAUUUCUUGGAAUCAGACACAAACAUUAAUCAUAGUCCCAUAACAUUUUAUCAAUUAAUGGCAGGUUCCCACAGUUUAAAGCUUUGGGGUAUGUAUUGAUAUUAUACCAAGUAUGUAUAUAUAUAACUUAUAUUACUGCAGAGAGAGAAAAAUAUUUAAUUGUAUGUACCUUUAGUAUAAUAAAUGAGGAAAGGGGGAAAAUCAAAUAUUCAAAAGAAAAGCAAUAAUAAAAUUUAAGGGAAAGAAAAGGAAAAAAUCAGGAAUUCAAUGUGUUUUUGAAAAGCAAUCUUCAAUGCAUGUGAUAGGAUAUAGUCAAUCAAUCUCAACAGAAGAUGCUCUCCUUACAUGUGAGCAAUGAUUCCAAGAUUCCUUCUUUCCAACCUUUAUAGAUAUUGAAGUAGUUGACAAUAUUUGGAAUGGUCCCUCCCAGGAAGGCUGAGUUACUCCAGUAUGCUGGAAAUUCUUAAUAUACACCUUGUUUCCUGGAUUCAGGUCAUGAAGUGAAAAGUCUAGUGGUCUGGCUUGUACUGCAGUUGCGGAUUUAUGGAGUUCAUGCAGUUUGUGCUGUAAUUCCUGUGUAUAAGAAGCAAUAGUAGUAUCUCCCCCUAAUAGUGAUGUAUAUGCCAGGGAGAAAGGCUUAGCCUGUAUAGGCAGAUGUCCAAAAAGGAUCUCAAAAGUGAAAUGUGUAGGUCUCCUCUAGGCCUGCUUCUAAGAUAAAAUAGGGCCAGAGGGUGAAUUUCAGGCCAUUUUAAAUGGGUCUCAGUGCAUAAUUUUCCAAUCAUAAUUUUAAGUCUUUUGUUCAUCCUUUCCUACUAUUUGGAGGGGAGACAAAACUGAAAAAGUUUAAUUAAUAUCAUCAAAAUCAAUCGACUCUAAGAAGAACUACCUUCAUUAUAUCUGGGAUGUUCCUUGGGCACCCCCCAAAGGACACACCCCUGAGGGGCAUUAGACCCUCAAGUAUUUUUUGGACGAGCACCAUUUUUAUAUAUUGUUGUUGGACAUUGUGUUGGGUAUUAUCAUUUUCUUCAUUUGGAGAACUGUCAUUAUUUUCCCAAUUUCUAUUUCUAUAAUUUUGGUUUCUAAAGUUUUUAUUUCUAUAGUCAUAGUUAUUUCUAUAAUUAUCACUUCUGCAGUUGUUAUUGAACCAUGUAUUCCUUUCAAUAAUCUUGAGAAAAGAGCUAUACUCUACCAUUCUAUGGCCCUUCUUCCCACAGACGUGGCAGUUAAUGGAUUGAUAAUUAGAUUUCUGGAAAGGGGCAAGUGUCAUUAUUUCAUUAUCAUGCCCACUUUCUAUUUUAGCUAUCUUAUCUUUUAAACAUCUCAUUUCUUUCUUCAUUUCCUCUAUGAUGUCAUUAUUUUCUUCCUCCUUUUCUUUGUUUCCCUUUAAAACAUAUAUAGCUGUUUUUCACAAUUCUUCAAGGUCCAUCUCUGGCCAUCUUGGACAAUGUAUUCCAAAAUAAUUCUUAAUCACUUUGCAAGAGUUAUUGACAAAGAUCCUUCCAAAUUGUCUUAAGUUAUUUUCUUUAGAUAGGUCAAAAUCCAGGUAUCUAGCCCCAAACUCGAUUAUUCUAUCCAUGAAUCUGGAGGGUGUUUUUUCCUCAUUUUGCUUAAUUUUUUUCAAGUUCCAUCCACUUAUCUGUACUGUCUGCACAUUCCCUCAUUGCUGUAAGGAUGGUAUAGUUGUAGAUAAUCAUCAGGGUUGUUAUAGUCCCAUUCAGGAUCCUGAGAUGGCCAAUGUGCUGCAUUAUGCCCCCAGCUCUUGUUGACAUGAGCAAUUAUUUUAUUUUUCUCAUGUUCAGUUAAAAAAGCCUGUAGCAAGUUUUCAUUGUCUUUGUAAGACAGAUUAUAUUGAAAAAAUGUCUGUCAUCUUUUUCGUUACCAGAAAGGGAUCUUGUUCAUAUGUGGGAACAUUUCAUGUAAAUUCAUUUAUUUCUUGGGGAGUAUAUGGUAUAUUGUGCCUUAAAGUCACCAAAUCCCCAUUCCGUUCUAUUUCAGAUACUUUUCUUAGAGGAAAUAGGCCUCUAGUUGAAUUUUGUAUCUGUGGGUCACUUCAACUAGAACGAGUUUCUCUAGGAGGACGAGAUCUCCUUUGGGCUGGAAUUUGGUUUUCUGUAGAAGGAACAUGAGAAACUGGGAUUGCAGUGGAAGGGUUUUGGGGAUUAAAUUCAGCCAAAAUUUGCUGACCAUGAGAGACCCAGUCUGUUAGCUGAAAUAUAGGGAAGGUGUUUUCCAUCUCUAUUUCGGGGAAGGAAAUUUCCUCAUUCAAAGGUUCUAAAACAGGUCUAUUUCUGGUAGGGUGGAUGUUUGCCAAUUGAUCCUGUAAGAAACAUUUUAAGUUUUCUAAUUGGACUUGCAUGUUCUCUUGCAUGUUUUUUUGUGUCCUCAAUUUUUGAGUGUUUUUCUGAAUUUCAGCUUCAAUUAAUUUUUUUAUGUUAGCAUCUCUAAACACAUUGUUGAGAAGUACAAAAAUGGCAUUACCUAAUAAUAUAAAAAGUUGGAGGUAUGCUGUAUUCCUCAAUGUCCCUAAUUCUUUGACUGCCAUAUAAAUGUCGAAACAUAUGUAGUAUUCAUUUAUAUAUAUAUAUGUAUAUGUAUAUGUAUAUAUAUGCAUAUAUAUAUAUAUAUAGUAUUUAUUUUUCUAAUGGUCUUCACAAAACACGUGGGGAGCAGGACAAAGUCAAAACUUCCUACAUGUUUUAACCACUCCUAAUCUAUGCAGUUGUUCCCUAAGGGAAAAGAGAUUUAGAAACAGCUCUCCCAUCUAGGACCUUAGGGCUCUGUUGCUAAGAUUUAAAACAACUGUGUUCUAUCUAAUUUAAGGAGAGAGGGAGAAAAGAGAAAAAAAUAAAUCCACAUUUACUUACCUUUACAGCUGAUCAAAAUAAGCUAUUAAAAAAUAGUCCCAAUAGAAAAAAUGUUUAGGAAAUGUAGGAAGAUUGAGGGUAUUUUGUCAUACCAACAUGGUCAGCCAAACUGUAAAGGGUGAAUAUUAUGGUUGAGACUGAAAAAAAAUCUAAAUUUAAAUGGUUGCCAAGGGAAAUCCCAAAUAAUAAAAUACCUAAGUCAGCUGCCAAAUUUUUAUGGUGAUUUAAUUACAACAGGAGGAAGAAAAUAUUAGAGGGAGAGAGAGAGAGGGAGAGAAGGAAAUGAGUUUAACUCAGAACCACUCUGCCUCAGGCUGAGCCAAAGUGGGUGUUAAGGCCUUGGAAAGCCAAGGCAAAGAAAGGGGUCAGUCCUUAUCACUCAUGUGACAAGUCUGAAGGAAAGUUGUCUGCGGGGCUCCUCCAAGCUCAAGCUCCAGGAUCUAACUGAACUCUAACCCUUUCCACAGGAAGUCACGAGAAUUCCAGAGGCUGUUCUCUACCUUACUUCCUGCAUCUCACAUGUGCCAAUUGUGGCUCAAGCUUGACUUAGGACAGCCCAGAGAGCUGUCCUUUUUUUGCACAUGUCUGUUGAAGGCCAUUUUCUUAGAUAAUUAAAUCUUGAAUUUAAUGCAGACCUUCCUAAUCUUGUUAAACUAAGAAGGGAGGAGAAAUGUAGUUUACAAGACCUGAUUUUGUUAUUCCAAGUAUCUCUAUUGUUAUUGAUCAGGAAAUAGCUAAAUCAGAUCUUCUGAAGAAUGAUCUGAUUAGGGUGGAAUAGUUUUGAAAUUCACAUCCUACCUGGUCAUAGUGAAUAACCCUUGUGAUGACUUGCUGGAGUCUUUUUGCUAGUAUCCUAUUUACGAUUUUUGCAUUUAUAUUCAUCAGGAAGAUUGAUCUAUAGUUUUCUUUAUCUCUUUUUGAGCUGCCUGGCUUUGGAAUCAGUACCAUAUUUGUGUCAUAAAAAGAAUUUGGUAGAACACCUUCUUUGCUUAUUCUGUCAAAUAGUUUGUAUAAUAAUGAAGUUAGUUGUUCUUUGAAUGUUUGAUAGAAUUCAUUUGUGCAUCCAUCUGGACCUGGGGAUUUUUUCUUAGGGUGUUCUGUGAUGGCUUGUUCAAUUUGUUUUUCUGAUAUGUGGUUGUUUAGGUAAUCUGUUUCUUCCUCUGUUAGUCUAGACAAUUUAUAUUUUUGUAUGUAUUCAUUCAUAUUACCUAGAUUGCCAUAUUUGUUGUCAUAUAAUUGGGCAUAAUAGUUUUUAAUAAUUGCCUUAAUUUCCUCUUCAUUAGAGGUAAGGUUUCCCUUUUCAUCUUGUAUACUGUCAAUUUGGGUUUUUUCUUUCCUUUUUUUUUAAUUAGACUGACUAGUACUUUGUCAAUUUUAUUUGUUUUUUCAAAGUACCAGCUUCUAGUCUUAUUUAUCAAAUCAAUAGUUCUUUGACUUUCAGUUUUAUUAAUUUAUCCUUUGAUUUUUAGGAUCUCCAAUUUAGUCUUCAUCUGAGUGUUUUUAAUUUGUUCACUUUAUAGUUUUUUGAUUUGCAUGCCCAAUUCAUUGACCUCUGCUCUCCCUAAUUUGUUAAUAUAUGAACUCGACAAUAUAAAUUUUCCCCUGAGUACUUCUUUGGCUGCAUCCCAUAGAUUUUGAAAGGCUGUCUCAUCAUUGUCAUUUUCUUCAAUGAAAUUAUUAAUUGUUUCUAUGAUUUGUUCUUUGACUAACCAGUUUUAGAGAAUUGUAUUGUUUAAUUUCUAAUUAAUUUUUUAUUUACCUCUCCAUGUACCCUUACUAAUUAUUAUUUUCAUUGCAUUGUGAUCUGAGAAGGUUGCAUUUAUUAUUUCUGCUCUUUUUCACUUCUUUGCAAUGAUUUUAUGCCCUAAUACAUGGUCAAUGUUUGUGAAUGUUCUGCUGCAAAGAAGGUGUGUUCCUUUUUGUCCCUAUUUAUUUUUCUCCACAUAUCUACUAACUCAAAUUUUUCUGAUAUUUCAUUCACUUCUCUUACCUGUUUCUUAUUUAUUUUUUAUUUGAUUUUUCUAGUUCAGAUAGAGCAGCAGUUCUCAACCUGUGGUUUGUAGCAAUGAGAAUACAUAAUGCAUAUCAGGUAUUUACAUUCUGAAUCAUAUCUAUAGCAAAAUUAUAUUUUUUUUGUUUUUUUUUAAACCCUUACCUUCCAUCUUGGAGUCAAUACUGUAUAUUGGCUCCAAGGCAGAAGAGUGGUAAGGGCUAGGCAAUGGGGGUCAAGUGACUUGCCCAGGGUCACACAGCUGGGAAGUGUCUGAGGCCAGAUUUGAACCUAGGACCUCCCGUCUCUAGGCCUAGCUCUCAAUUCACUGAGCUACCCAGCUGCCCCCUGCAAAAUUAUAGUUUUGAAGUAGCCACUAAAAUUAAUUUUUGGUUUGGGGACACCACAACAUGAUGAACUGUUUUGUGGGGUCACGGCAUUAGAAAGGUUGAGAACCACUGAGAAAGAGGAAGAUUCAGGUCUCCCACUAGUAUAGUUUUCCUCUCUAUAUCAUCCUUGAGCUCCUCUAGUUUCUCCUUUAGAAAUUUGAAUGCUAUACCAUUUGGUGUAUACAUGUUGAGUACUGAUAUUUCCUCAUUGUCUAUACUGCCUUUUAUCAAGAUGUAAUUACUUUCCCUAUCUCUUUUAACUAGAUUUAUUUUUACGUUGGCUUUGUCAGAUAUCAUGAUUGUGACUCCUGCCUUCUUUUUAUCAGUUGAUGCCCGAUAGAUAGAUUUGGCUCCAUACUCUUACUUUCACCCUAUGCGUAUCUACCUUCCUCAUGUGUGUUUCUUGCAGACAGCAUAUGGUAGGGUUUUGGAUUCUAAUCCACUCUUCUAUUCGCUUGCAUUUUAUAGGUGAGUUCAUUCCAUUCACAUUCAGAGUUAUGAUUACCAACCAUAUAUCUCCCAACAUUUUGAUUUCUACUCCUAGUCCUGCCUUUUCUUCUUUCACUGUUUCCUUUUACACCAAUGUUUGUUUUUAAUCAGCCCCCCUAGUUCCCUCCCUUAUUUUUCUUCCCUUUCUACCCCCUCCCUCCUUAUUCCCCCUCUUAUUUUCUUUGCAGUCUUUUUAAAACUACCCCCCACCCUCUCCCUCCUUUAUACUGCUUCCCUCACCUCCAGUUCAUUUAUUACCCUUAUGUUCCCCUAUAAGGCAUGAAUCUAUUCUCUGCCCCAAUGGAUUGGAUUGUUCUUACCUCUUUGGGUCAAUUUCAAUGCACAUAAGAGUUGAGUAUUUCCUGUUUCCAACCUCUUUACCCUUCCAGUGUAUUGAUGUUCUUCCCCCCUCCUGCCAUGAGCUUCUUUGUGACCUAUACAUUUACCUCCUUUUGUUCAUUUCCCAUUUCCUUUAGUAUUAACCUCAUUUUUUAGCUCUAGUUGUAUACAUAUACACACAUGUAUAUGUAUUUACAUAUACAUAUAUCUAUAUACGUAUUUCUGUCUUGUUGUUUAAUCCUAUACAGUAUGUCACUAUUCCCUUUAAGUGUAAUUCUUCUAGCUGCCCAGGUGAUAACAACAGUUUUUAAGAGUUACCAAUGACCUCUUUUCUUAUAGGGAUACAUAUCAUUUUAACUUAUUGAGUCUCUUAAAAAAAGUUUUUGUGUUUUUUUGUUUUAUUUUGUUUUUCUUUUUCCCCCAUUCUUAAAUUACCUUUUGAUGGUUCUCUUGAGUUCUGUGCUUGGACAUCAAAUUUUAUGUUCAGGUCUGGUCUUUUCUUUACAAAUUCUUGGAAUUCUAUUUUUUUGAAUGACCAUAAUUUUCCCUGUAAGAAUAUAGUCAUAUUCUUAGAAUAUAUAAGAAUAAUUGCUGGGUAGUUGAUUCUUGGUUGUAGACCUAGUUCCCUUACUUUCUGGAAUGUCUUAUUCCAUGCCUUUUGAUCCUUCCAUUUAGAUGCAGCCAGAUCCUGUGUUAUCCUCACUGUCGUUCCAUGGUAUCUGAAUGACUUUUUCUUGGAAGCUUGUAAUAUUUUUUCUUUGGUCUGAUACUUCUUGAAUUUGGUUAUAACAUUCCUGGGUGUUGUCAGUUGGGGAUUAAGUACAGGAGGUGAUCUUUGGAUUCUUUCAAUCUCCACUUUUCCCUCUUGUUCUAGAAUAUCAGGGCAGUUUUCUUGAAUAAUUUCCUGUAGUAUUAUGUCCAGGCCUUUUCUUUUGUCAUGGUCUUCUGGUAGACCAAUGAUUCUUAAAUUGUCUCUCCUCGAAUGAUUUUCUAAAUCUUCUGUUUUGUGAAUGAGAUGUUUCAUAUUUUCCUCAAUUUUUUCAUUAUUUUGGUUUUGUUUUAUAGUAUCCUGCUGAAUUGUGAGGUCACUUAAUUCUAGUUGUUGUACUCUGGUUACUAAAGACUGGAUUUUAUCCCUUUUUGUCAUCUUUCUUCUUCUGUUUUGAUUUUCUUUGGAGGUCAUCUUUCAUCCCCUUUGCCUCAUCUUUCAUCUCCUUUGCCUCAUUUUCAAGAUGAUUAAUUUUGGCUUUCAAGAUGCUAUUUUCUGUUUCCAGAUGACUUAUCUUAGUUUUUAUGUUCUUUUCCCAAUUGUCUUCAGCCUCUCUUAAUUGUGUUUUGAAUUGCAUUUUGAGUUCUUCCAAAGCCUGUAUCCAAUUCGCUUGGAUUUCUGAUUUUUCCUUUGCUCUUGGCUCUCCCUCUGUUUUGUUUGCUCUUUGCUCAUUACCUCUAUAGAAGCUGUCUAAUGUAGUUUCUUUCUUCUUUUUCUGUUGUUUGCUCAUACCCCUUUUUCUUUGCUCCCCGUAUUUGUCUGUGUUCUUGCUACUCACAUUUUUUUUAUUUUGGGGGUUUCUGUCAGUCUCCCCUCUUGGAGUUUUGACAGAAGGUCUCUCCCUGCAGUCUGUGGCAAAGGGGUGUUGUAGUUUGAGCUUCCCUUUCCUCUGGAGGCUUUUGAUUGGAUUAAAUUAAAAUCCAACAGUAUGUGGGGGAGGGUUGUUGUAGUUUGAGCUUCCCAGUCCUCUGGAGACUUUUGAUUGGAUUAAAUUAAAAUCCAACAGUAUGUGGGGGAGGGUUGUUGUAGUUUGAGCUUCCCAGUCCUCUGGAGACUUUUGAUUGGAUUAAAUUAAAAUCCAGAAGUCCCUGAGGGAGGGUUGUUGGGGUUUGGGCUUCCCUGAUGUCUGAAGACUUUUGAUGGGAUUAAGUUCAUCUGGGUUGGGCUGGAUGUGCCCUAAGGUCAAAACCUCCUGGAAGGCUAGAGGUCACAAUGGAAGGUCUUAGUAGCUCUGUCCAGGCUGCCAGCUCUGUGCUCCCUUUCCAGCUCCUUCCCCACCACCUGUGUUCGACCCUCUGAGCCUGGCACAGCCCCGCCCACAAGGUACACCCUCCAGACCAGUGCCCUUGCCUGCCCAGAAGUUCCCGCUGCCACUGGAGGCUUAUUGCUCUAGGUGUGUGUGUGGGGAGGGGUCCUGGGACCUUCCUUCCACCUUUCCCUUAAAGCUGAGUGUUCUUGGAUUUGUAGAAAUUUUAGGCUUCUGGGAGAGGUUAUAAUAUUGUAAUGGCUAAAAUUGUGGCUACAGGAUUUAUGUAAUAUUGAACAAUGGCCGCCAAGGAAUUUACUUAUGAAAUUCCUAAAAUGAAACACUCAAGUCAGAAUGGAGUUUAUGGGGGUUUAAUCACACUGGAAGUAGAGAAAGGAGAGGGAGAGAAGGAGAGAAGAGAAAAGGGAAAGGGGCUACUCAACCUCUGACCAAGGCAGAGGGAGAUUUAGGCCCAAAGGCCCAGGUGGAAAGAAUCAGUCCUUAACUCACAUGACGGAUCUGAAGGAAAGCUGUCUGCGGGCAUCCUCCCUCUCCAAGCUCCUAACACCCCUAACUCCCCUAGCUCUCUCCACAGGAAGUGCGCGAAUCCUAGAGGCUGUUCCCUACCUCACUUCCUGUGUCUCACAAAUCCAAUGGUUGGCUCUAGCUUGGCUUAGGACAGCCCAGGUGGGCAGUUAGUUAUUUCUGAUUUGUCAUUGACUAGCGCAUGCCCGUGUAGUGUGGGUGUGCACAAUUUUUGGGUGCUAGACCAAGAUGGAGAUUCCAGCUUUUGGUAUGUACCUUGUCUUGUUGUUACGUUUGAUUUUCAGUCUCCUAGGAGCAGUCAGUUUGUGAUUGGUAAGGAAGGGUUUUCAGAGGUCUGAACUUCUCCCAAUACUAUUUUUAAAGAAUGAAUUUAUUCCAUGACCUUUUCAUCUUACUUUUCCACUUUAUAUCUUCUUCUACUUUUCAUGUAUCUCUUUUCUUUAUUGAUUUUUUUGCCUCUUUCCAGUUGACCAAUUUUAUUUUUUUAAGCUAUUGUUUUCUUUUUGCAUUACUUUCAUCCUUUUUUGCAUUUUUCUUUGAUCUGUCUUAUUUGAUUUUUUAAUUCCUUUUUGAGUUCUUCCAGCACUUGAUACCAGUUUCCCUUUUUCUUUGAAGUUUUGCAUAUGGUUACCUGAAUCUCACUUUCUCCUGUUGACUCUAUGUUUUGAUUUUUUUGUCUCCAUAGACAUUUUCUAUCUUUGGGUCUUUCUUUUACUGUUUGUUCAUUUCCCCCACAUUUUAUUGCCUGUGGACUGGGAAUUCUGAAAGAUGAUGAUCCUAUCUCCUUUGCUGAUGGCUUGCAGGACCUGGCACUGUGAGUUCUUUUGCCCUGGGGCUAGGUCUUCACCACAGUUCAGGCUUGAAAAGGCCAAACACACUGGAAUUUGGGGCCUCACUUUUGGGGUGGUGUCAGGGCCUGGGACUAGAAGAAAAUGGGUCUGGGGUAUAGUGUGCUCUGUUGUUGGUGUGGCCAGGGUCACACAAUCCUGAAGUUAGCCUAUGUCCAGGUUCAUAUCCAGGUACAGUAGGUGAGUUUUGGUCAGCCAGCACUUCUCUAUGUGCAGUUAAAAAAAUUACCUCUGUCUUAGAAUCACUACUGUGUAUUAGUUUUAUGGCAGAAGAGCAUUACAGGCUAGGUUAAUGGGGGGGAGUAAGUGUCUUACCUGGGGUCAUACAACUUGGAAGUGCCUAUUGUCAGAUUUAAACCUAGGACCUCCUAUCUCUAGGCCUGGCUCUCAAUCCACUGAGCUACCCAGCUGCUCCUUUUGUGAAAUUUUGUUUGUGGUUACCCUUUAUCCCAUUAAAAGUGAUUCUCUCUGUCUACCAUUCAAGUUGUAUUUAGAAGAGAGCCCCCUCUCUCCUUCUGGCUGUUGGUUUUUGACUCCUAUCCUUUUGAGUAGCUUUUUAAAGAAUAGUUUGGAAGGACUGUCAGAUUGGUUUCAGCUUUUACUACUACUAAGCCACCAUCUUAGCUCCACCCCACUCAUUUUUAUUUUAAAUGUAGGCUCUGUUCUGAGGGUGGAUAGGGCACUCUAUUAAAUUUCAGUUCUUCCUUGAUGUACCCUUGACCUUAUUUCUGGGUUUCUGCAAGUUUCAGUUCUUUUAAGGUGAUAUGAUGGCCUGAGGCCUGUGAGCUCUGAAAGACAUCUACCACUGCUGAUUCAAUUACCCCUUGAUACUGCUGGUGGCUCAAAUUCUAGCCUCUGGCUUGGGUAGGGGCUUUUGAUUUCAUCUAGACUUCAUCAGGUCAGGCACAUCUUUGACUACUCUGCCCUGGGGCUCCAUCUUGAGGUUUGGCAAGGACCAGCCAGGCCAAGGCUCCCAUAGACCAACAGCCUAUGUACUGACCCCACCAGGGAUCCAGGGACUCAGCUCAGGGACUACAUUGACCCUUAGUUCUGUCCCAAAUUGGGAUUCAGGUCCUUAGGAGAAGCCCAGGCUGGAAAACUCCUAGCCUAGCUUUAGGCCCACACAGAUCAGGUGCUCUGCACAGACUGCUCCAGACUGGAAUUCUGGACCUCACCACAGAUUUGCUUGGAACUUUAAAGGGUGUGUGUUGUGUUGCACUGUUGUUGGCUUAGGCAGGAUCUCAGGGUCUGGAAUGCUGGCUUGGGCCCAGGUUGAGAACUUUUUAAAUUGUUUUCUGCAUGACAGUUGCUUCACUCUGUGUCCUUGUUGGUUCUUUUUCUCCUGUAUUCAUUUUGUGGUGUUAUUUUAAGAUUGGUUGGAGAGGAUUCUUCUGGUGGUUUCAAGGUUCCCUGCUUCUCCUCUGCCAUAUUGGCUUCUGGGUCUGUUUUUUCUAAUAGAGAGUCUUACAUUCCCUAAAGAAGAUAGGGGAGAGGUACAAGGGUUCAGAAAAAGAGAAAAAAUCGGGUGGAGGUAGUUACGGACAAAGUUAUGGAGAGGGUGGGAAGCUUUAUGAGAAGAAGAAGAGGAGGAAGAUGAAAAGGUGUGGAAUGGUGUAGCUAGGUGGCUCACUGGAUUUGUGGACCAGGCCUGAAGGUAUGAGAUCUUGGAUUCAAAUAUGACUACUGACACUUCCUAGCUUUGUAACUAUGGGCAAGUCACGUAACCUCAGUUGUCUAGCCUGUACCACUCUUCUUCCAAGGACUCAAUACUUAGUAUUGAUUUUCAGAUACAAUAUAAAGGUUAUUUUUAAAAAUAGAAGUGUUGAUGAAGAGUGUGGGGGGUUGAUCUUGGAUAGGAGGGAGAAAACAGGAAAUGAAAGGAUUUGUUUGGGAUGAAAGUUAAGAGUCUAAGAGUAAAGGGAUGGAGGUGGGGAAAGGGAGAAAAAAGGAGGUCUAACAAGAAGACCGAGAGACAAAAAUGAGGCCUGAGAUGAGGUUGAAGAAGGAGGAACCAAAGAAGAGGAGUUGAAAGAAGGGAGACUAGGCCAGGAGAGGAGAAGGAGGGCAAGAGUAUAAUGAGUUUGAGGCUGGACAAUUCUAGAACUGUGACCCCCCCUACACACACACAUACCAUGCUGACACUGUGGAAAGGGAGACUCAUAAAUAAGUGUUUUCUGUCUAUCAGAGUGUGACAAGAAUGAAGUCACCAGCAUGGCUUAGAGGUGACCAAAAGGAAGGUGUUGGCCUGGAGAAGCUGGUCAGGUAAGGAGAAGAAAGACUUCCCAAGCAGAAUCCAGUGUGAUGGAGUAGCAAUAAUGGGUCAGCCUGGAUAUGUAAAGACCUACCAUGAAAAGCAAUUCCUCAUACAAGAGGCUAUCUCUGCCCUUUGCUUGCUCCUACUCUGGACACACCUGUCCUGGUUUGGAUUAUAGAGCCAGCAGCCUCCCUUGCCAGGUUAGAAUAUUUGGUAGACUUUGGUUCUAGAAUCAGCUCUGCUGCUAACUGUCACUAGUCACAUUCUUGUGUCUCAGUGUCCUGCCUUUUAAUAGGAAAGUAUUAUAAUAGUGGGAAUCUAUACUAAUAUUCAGCAGUGUGGAAUGUCUGCAGUUUGGGGAGGGUCUAAGGGUCCUUCAGGAAAGAGGGAAUAUGCACAGAUAAUGAAGCCAAUGUCAGGAAGUCACAGGGACCACUUGGCUUUGCUGCUUCUUUGGUCCAAUUCAUAACGCUGAUCCCACCCAUUUUCCCCAUUUGACCCUAAAGUCAAAAACUGGAUAGUUCAAGAAAAUGUACAUUAGAGAAACAACUACAAAGGCAAGCUCUACUUGGUCUAUCUGGAGGGUAUAAUUGCUUGUUUAUAGGGAAGGGAGCAGAAUAAAGUAGACAGAACAGGGAUGAAUUGGAGCUUACUGAAUCUUUGCUUGCUUCCAAGAGUAACCUCUAAAGUACUUGUAUUUCUGGGCAAGAUGCUCCCCCUUUCUUGGCCUCAGUUUCUCCACAUACACAGCCAGUUAGAGAGAAAAUUGUAGCUGAUUGGACAAAAGGAGAAAUUUAAAAUUAGGAAUUUAAGACCGGGAUUCAAAUUCUUUCUCUUAUGCCUCCUGGUUUUAUAACUUUGAACAAGCUAGUAAUCCUCUGAAUUUUGCCAAAUGACUUUCUCCAAUUUUAAAUUACUAAUGAAUUGUGUACAUGUACAGACUAAAGGAUGAAUAGUUAAUUCUAUCCUCUCCAUUGCUCCAACAAAAAGUUCUGAAAAUAAGAGUCAGACUGUAUGAUAUGUCAGAGGACUAUUUUAAAUGAAAUAAAACUAAAGAUUCCUGAUUUUGAUUUUACAGAUAAGCCAACUAAGAGCCAGAAGGUUGGCCAUCUCCAUCUGCUCUAGGUCACACAGUCAUGGAGUAGCAGAGCCAUCAUUUGAACACAGAUUUAAUGACUCCUAAGGUAGCAAGCUGUUGACAAGGAUGAUGUCACUGUUUCUAAGGUUUGGGGAAUGGUGCGACUAAUUGUCAGGAAAAAGGGAAGAGAGAAGGCUGUGACAAGAAAGAAGUCUCCAGCAUGUCUCACAGGUAUCUAAAGAGAGGUGGCAGCCUGGAGAUUCCUGCCGGGUAAGGAGAGGGAAGGGUCACCAAGCAGAGCUCAGGGUGAUGGGCUGGCAAUAGUGGCAGGCCUGGAUUAUAAAGACCCAACAUCAGACCCAACUCCUCCCUCAGGAGGCUGUCCCAGCCCUUCCCUGGCUCUGACUCUCAGCACAUCUGUCCUCCCACCAGCUUUGGACUAUAGAGGCAGCAGCCUCUCUGGCCAAGUUAGAACACUGAGGAGAUCUGGGUUCUAGUGUCAGCUCUGCUGAUGUCACUGUUCCCUAUCCUCUGUCUCAGUGUCCUGCCCUAUAACAGGACAGCAUUAAAAUACUUAUAAUCUACAGCAACAUUUGGCAUUAAGGUUGGUACUUCUGGUAGUGACUUAGGGGCCUUUAGGUCAGAAAGAACUUGUUCAAAUAAUGAAGCCAGGGAUAGGAAGACAUUAGGACCACUGCCUUUGUAGCAAAUUACUAACCUUGAUCCCAUCCAUUUCCCCCUUCAUCCUAAGGGAAGCCAGUGGAGGGGGUGGGACGGAUCAGAGAAAAAGUACAUUGCAUAAAAAACUCCAAAGGUCAACUCUACUGAAAGUGUGUUAAAGAAACCAUCUUGAUCUCUCUGGAGGGCACAAUUGUUUGUUUACAGGGCUGAGAGCAUGGUAAAAGAGAAUGAAGAUGGAUGGGAUGUGAGGGCAUUGGAUCUUUAUUUAAUCUCCUGAGUUAUGUGUAAGGCACUUGUAGGACUUUGAGAAAGAUGCUCCCAAUUUUGUUAGCCUCAGUUAAGAUCUGGAUUCAUAUUCUGGCUGUGCUACCUGUAAUUUUCAUAAUUUACAAGAAGGUGUAGUAAUCUGACAACCAACUCUCCAAUUUGAAAUUACUGAUAAAUUAUAUAUGUACAUAGGCUAUGGAAUGAAAUCUGAGGUUUGGUUUCUCCAUUGCUUUAAUUAAAAAAGGGUCUCAUAUAAGAAAGUCAGAUGAGGUAGCUGAGCAUUAUUCCAAAUAGGAGAAUCCUGAAUAUUCCUGAUUUCACUUUACAGAUGAGCAAACAGAGCCAGAAGGACUCCAUCUGCCUCUGUUCUGGGUCACACAGCCUUGGGGUGGCAGAGCCCCAUCAUUUGAACACAGGUUCCAUGACUCCUGAAGGGAGCACUCUGUGGCCCAGAAUGACAUCAUGGUUGCCAAGGUCUCAGGAGUCAUUCAGUCCAACCCUGUCCUUUGAUAGAAAAUGAAGCUGGAGCCCAAGAAAUUUAAGUCAUUUACCCCAGGAUCAGCAGGGUGUGAGAAGAAUGAUGCCACUCAGGAGGUGACCCAAAGGGAGGUGGCAGCCUGGAGAAUCCUGCAGGGGUGUGAGAAAAAUGAUGCCACUCAGGAGGUGACCCAAAGGGCGGUGGCAGCCUGGAGAAUCCUGCAGGAUGAGCAAACACAACCAGAAGGACUCCAACUGCAUCUGUUUUGGGUCACACAGCCUUGGGGUGGCAGAGCCCCAUCAUUUGAAUGCAGGUUCCAUGAUGCCUGAAGGCAAUAGAGUGUCACCCAGCAUGACAUUAUGGUUGUCAAGGGUGUGAGAAGAAUGAUGCCAGUCAAGAGGUGACCCAAAGGGAGGUGGCAGCCUGGAGAAUUCUGCAGGGUAUGGGCUCUGGGAUGAAAUCUCAGCUCUGGCCUGUCCAUGGCACUAACAUCAAAGUGAGCUAAAGAAGAGUCAGAGUAGAUGAGGAGGAGGCUGAGCAUUAUUCCAAAUAGGAGAGUCCUGAAGAUUCCUGAUUUCACUUUACAGAUGAGCAAACAGAGCCAGAAGGUCUCCACCUGCAUCUGUUCUGGGUCACACAGCCAUGGGGUGGCAGAGCCACAUCAUUUGAACACAGGUUCUAGGAUUCCUUAGUUUACAAGCUGAUGCCCCCAUUUCCAAGGGUGUGAGAAGAAUGAUGCCACUCAGGAGGUGACCCAAAGGGAGGUGGCAGCCUGGAGAAUCCUGCAGGAUGAGCAAACAGAGACGGAAGGACUCCAUCUGCCCCUGUUCUGGGUCACACAGCCAUGGGGUGGCAGAGCCAGCCCCAUCCUUUGAACACAGGUUCUAGGAUUCCUAUGUAUAAAAGCUUUUGCCAUCAUUUACAAGGGUGUGAGAAGAAUGAUGCCAGUCAAGAGGUGACCCAAAGGGAGGAGGCAGCCUGGAGAAUCCUGCAGGGUGAGCAAACAGAGCCAGAAGGACUCCAUCUGCCUCUGUUUUGGGUCACAGUCAUGGAGUGGCAGAGCGAUCAUUUGAACUUCAUGUUCAAAUGGUUUAUGGACUCCUAAGUUUACAAGCUGUUACCAAGGAUGACAUGAUCGUUUCCAAGGGUGUGAGAAGAAUGAUGCCACUCAGGAGGUGACCCAAAGGGAGGUGGCAGCCUGGAGAAUCCUGCAGGGUGAGCAAACAGAGCCAGAAGGACUCCAUCUGCCUCUGUUUUGGGUCACAGUCAUGGAGUGGCAGAGCGAUCAUUUGAACUUCAUGUUCAAAUGGUUUAUGGACUCCUAAGUUUACAAGCUGUUACCAAGGAUGACAUGAUCGUUUCCAAGGGUGUGAGAAGAAUGAUGCCACUCAGGAGGUGACCCAAAGGGAGGUGGCAGCCUGGAGAAUCCUGCAGGAUGAGCAAACAGAGCCAGAAGGACUCCGUCAGCAUCUGUUCUGGGUCACACAGCUUUGGGGUGGCAGAGCCCCAUCACUUGCACACAGGUUCCAUGACUCCAGAAGGGAGCACUCUGUGGCCCAGGAUGACAUCAUGGUUGCCAAGGGUGUGAGAAGAAUGAUGCCACACAAGAGGUGACCCAAAGGGAGGAGGCAGCCUAGAGAAUCCUGCAGGAUGAGCAAACAGAGCCAGAAGGACUACAUCAGCAUCUGUUCUGGGUCACAGAGCCUUGGGGUGGCAGAGCCCCAUCACUUGCACACAGGUUCCAUGACUCCUGAAGGUAACAGAGUGUGACCCUAGAUGAUAUCAUGGUUGCCAAGGGUGUGAGAAGAAUGAUGCCACUCAGGAGGUGACCCAAAGGGAGGUGGCAGCCUGGAGAAUCCUGCAGGAUGAGCAAACAGAGCCAGAAGGACUCCGUCAGCAUCUGUUCUGGGUCACACAGCUUUGGGGUGGCAGAGCCCCAUCACUUGCACACAGGUUCCAUGACUCCAGAAGGGAGCACUCUGUGGCCCAGGAUGACAUCAUGGUUGCCAAGGGUGUGAGAAGAAUGAUGCCACACAAGAGGUGACCCAAAGGGAGGUGGCAGCCUAGAGAAUCCUGCAGGAUGAGCAAACAGAGCCAGAAGGACUCCAUCAGCAUCUGUUCUGGGUCACAGAGCCUUGGGGUGGCAGAGCCCCAUCACUUGCACACAGGUUCCAUGACUCCUGAAGGUAACAGAGUGUGACCCUAGAUGAUAUCAUGGUUGCCAAGGGUGUGAGAAGAAUGAUGCCACUCAGGAGGUGACCCAAAGGGAGGUGGCAGCCUGGAGAAUCCUGCAGGAUGAGCAAACAGAGCCAGAAGGACUCCGUCAGCAUCUGUUCUGGGUCACACAGCUUUGGGGUGGCAGAGCCCCAUCACUUGCACACAGGUUCCAUGACUCCAGAAGGGAGCACUCUGUGGCCCAGGAUGACAUCAUGGUUGCCAAGGGUGUGAGAAGAAUGAUGCCACUCAGGAGGUGACCCAAAGGGAGGUGGCAGCCUGGAGAAUCCUGCAGGAUGAGCAAACAGAGCCAGAAGGACUCCAUCAGCAUCUGUUCUGGGUCACAGAGCCUUGGGGUGGCAGAGCCCCAUCACUUGCACACAGGUUCCAUGACUCCUGAAGGUAACAGAGUGUGACCCUAGAUGAUAUCAUGGUUGCCAAGGGUGUGAGAAGAAUGAUGCCACUCAGGAGGUGACCCAAAGGGAGGAGGCAGCCUGGAGAAUCCUGCAGGAUGAGCAAACAGAGCCAGAAGGUCUCCACCUGUAUCCAUUCUGGGUCACAGAGCCAUGGGGUGGCAGAGCCAGCCCCAUCCUUUGAACACAAGUUCUAGGACCCCUAAGGCAGCAUGGCCAAGGAUCACAAUAAGGUUGCCAAGAUCCUGAAGGAAGCCAGAUAUGAGAGUGGGAUGGAUCAGAGAAAAGGCUCACGGAAGAAACAACUCCAAAGGCAAGCUCUACUGCAAUUGUGACAAUCAUCUCCAUCUGUUCUAGAGCUCACCCAGUGGCAGAGCCAUCAUUUGAACAUAGACAUCACUGUUUCCAAGAAAAUGAAGCUGAAGACCAGGAAAGUUAAACGAUUUGCCCUGGAUGAUAAAGGGUGGAAAAAAGAAUGAAGAAGUGGAUGUGCAGCUUAGAGAUGUCCAAAAGUCCUGGAGAACUUCACAGAUCCUGGAGGAAGAGAGAAGAACAUGGAAUGAACCAUCACAAGAAAGUUCACUGCGCAGCGACUCGUGGAAAGAAGAAUGCCUACAUUGAUCACACACACACACACACACACAUAUACAUACAUAUACUCUACACUAUGAACAAAUUAACCACGAUUUAGAUCCAUAGAUAAAUAGAAAUAUAGACAGAUAAAUAGAUGAUCAAAUAAGUAGGCAAACAUAUAAAAAGUGAAGGCAGAGAAAAAACUACAUAGGUAAAUAAGUAAAAAUAAAUAAAUAGGUAAAUUAAUCAAUAAACAGAUAAAUCAAUAAACCCAAUGGAUAAAAGAGAUAAACAAACAGGUAAAAUAUAAAUAAUAUGUGGUAAAAGUAAAUAUAUGUUUAAAUAGAUAAAUAAAUAUGCUGAUAAUAAAUGGAUAAUUAAACAGGUAAACAGUAAAUAUACUGAUAAUAACAUGUAUAGAUAAUAUUCAUAGAUGAAAUAAAUCAUUAAAAUUAUAUUCAUAUAUAAAUAUGGAUACAGAAUAUAUAAAUACAGAAAAUAAAUGCAUAGAGAAAUAUGCAAAUAGUUAAAUAAGUAAAUAACCAAAAAUUAUACAUAGAUUAGACAGAAAAAUACAUCAAUGAAUAUCAUAAAUCAAUUCACCUUGUUGAGAGAUAAAUAGAUACAUAUAAAGACACAGAUAAGUAAAAUAUACAUUUUAAGAGUUAAAAAGAUAAACAGAAAAAUGGAUAAAUCCAUCAAUAUGUAGAUAAAUAUAUUGUUAACAAAUAUGACUCAUAAGCAUACAUAGAUAAAUAAAAAAUAAUAGACAUGAUAAAUAAGUAAAUAUGUAUAGUUAAAUAGAUGAUAUGCUGAUAAAUAGAAAAAUAAAUAGAUGAUUUUAAUAAUAGACAAAAAUGGAUAAUGAUGGGUAACUUAAUAAAAGGAUAAGUAAUAUGUAUGAAUGUAAUGAAUAGAAAAAUACAUAGAUGAUGUAAAUAGACAAAUGUAUACUAUAUAUGGAUAACAUAAAGAACAAAGGUUUUUUAAGUAAAUAAAUAGAUAAAUAUUUAGAUAGACUAAAUAAAAGUUAAAUAGACCAUGUAAAUAACAUACAAAUGGAUAAUAAUGGACAAUUUAAUAAAGACAUGCUUUAAGCAAUAUAUUAAUCAGAUAAAUAGAAAAAUAGAUGAGUAAUAAUGGAUAAUUUUAAUAAAGGUAUGUAAAAGUAAUAAAUAUAAAUUAUCUAUAUAAUAUGCUGAUAAAUAGAAAAGUAAAGAUGGGUAAAUUUGUUAAUGGAUAAAAUAAUGGAUAAUUUAAUAAAGACAUGGAUAAAACAAAUAUGUAUUAUAAAUAGAAAAUAGAAAAAUAAAUAGAUGAGUAAAUAGAUAAAUAAUAAUAAUGGAUGCUUUAAUAAGAACAUGGAUAAGUAAAUAAAUAUCAAUAGAUAACAUGCUGAUAAAUAGAAAUAUAAAUGGAUAAUUUAUAAUAGAGAUAGAUAAAAAGCAAAUAUGUAGACAUAAAUAGAAAAAUAAAUAGAUGAGUAAAAAAGACAAUAAUGGAUGCUUUAUUUACGAAAGACAUGGAUAGUAAACAAAUAUAGUUAAAUAUAGAUAGCAAUGCUGAUAAAUAGAAAAAUAAAUAGUUAAAUAAUAGACAAAUGGAUAAUAAUGGAUAAUUUAAUAAGACAUAAGUAAAAAGUAAAAAUAUAUAUUUAAAUAGAAAAUUUGAGAUAACAAUGGGGUAAAUUUUAAUACAGACAUGGUAUAUACAUUAAAUAGAUUAUAUGCCAAUGAAUAGAAAAAUAAAUAGAGUAUGGAUAAAAAGUAAUAAAAUAGAUAUUAAAUAGAUAUAAUAUGCUGAUAAUAGAAAAAUAAAUAAAUGAGUAUUUAGACAAAUGGAUAAUAAUAAUGGAAAUUUAACAAAGAUAGGUAAAGUAAUACAAUAUAAAUGAUAUAUGCUGAUAAAUAGAAAAGUAAAAUAGAUGGGUAAAAAUAUAUUGUUAUGGAUAAAAUAAUGGAUAAUUUAAUAAAGAUAAAAAACAAAUAUGUACAUAUAAAUAGAAAAUAGAAAAAUAAAUAGAUGAGUAAACAAAUAAUGGAUCCUAUUAAUAAGACAUGUAUAAGUAGUAAAUAAAUAUCAGUGGAUGCAUGUGCAGAGCAUAAAUAGAAAUAUAUAUAAAUGGAUAAAUUAUAAUAGAGAUAGAUAAAAAGCAAAUAUGUAGAUAUAAAUAGAAAAAUAAAUAGAUGUACUUAGACAAUAAUGGAUGCUUUAAGAAAGAUAUGGAUAAAAUAUAUAAAUAGAUAGCAAUGCUGAUAAAUAGAAAAAUAAAUAGUUGAAUAAUAUAGACAAAUAAUAAUGGAUAAUUUAAUGACAGGUAAAAAGUAAAAAAAUAUAUUUAAAUAGAAAAUAUGCUGAUAAUAGAAAUUCAAUAGAAAAAUGGAGAUUAUAUUAAUAAUGGGUAAAUUUUAAUAGAGACAGUAUGUAAGUUAAUAGAUAAUAUGCCAAUGAAUAGAAAAAUAAGUAGUGUAAAUAGACUGGAUAAUAAUGGAUAAAAAGUAAAAAAUAUAUAGUUAAAUAGAUAUAAUAUGCUGGAAAAAUAAAUAGAUUAAUAAAUAGACAAAUAAUAAUGGGAAAUUUAAUAAAUAGAUGAGUAAAUAGACAAAUAAAAAUGGGAAAUUUAAUACAUGGAUAAAAUAAAUAAAUAUUGUUAAAUAGAUAAUAUGCUGACGAAUAAAUAGAAAAAUAAAUAGAUGAGUAAAAAACAAAUGGAUAAAUUUAAUAAAGGGUAAGUAAAUAGAUUUCAUUUGAAAAGUAAAAAGAAUUGGUAAAUAAAACUGGAUAAAUUUAAUAAGAUAUGGAUAAAAAAGCAAAUAUAUCUAGUUAAAUUGAUAAAUAGAAAAAUAAAUAGAUGAGUAAAUAGACAAGUGUAUUAUAAUAAUGGAUGAGUAAUAGACAAGUGUAUAAUAAUAAUGGAUGUUUAAAGAUAGGUAAAAAGUAAAUGAAAGAUAAAUAUUUAGAUAUAUGCUGAUAAAUAGAAAAUAAUAGGGUAAAUAAACAAAUGGAUAAUAAUGGAUAGUUUUAAUAAAAUAAGAUGCAUAAAAGCAAAUAUUAAAUAGACAAAAUAAUAAUAAUGGAUGAUUUUAAUAAGUUACAUAGAUAAAACAUGCUGAUAAAAUAGAUGAAUAAGUAGACAAAUGGAUAAAUGAUGGAUAAUUUAAAAAGAUAAAUAGAUUUCAUAUGCUGAUAAAUAGAAAAUAAUGGGUAAAAUAAACAAAUGGAUGAAUAUAAUAGAUAAUUUAAUUUAAUAAGGACAUGGAUAAAAAGCAAACGUUAAGUAGAAAAAUUAGAGAUGAGUAAAAUAGACAAAUAAUAAUGGAUGCUUUAUUUUAAUAAAGACCCUGAUGAGUUAAAUAAUCGCAUGCUGAUAAAUAGAAAAAUAAAUAGAUGGGUAAAAACAAAUGGAUAAUAAUGAAUUUAAUAACAUAGGUAAAAAGGUAAACAUUAUAUAUAUAUUUAAAUAGAAAAUAUGAUAAAUAGAAAGUCAAAAGACAAAUGCAUAAUAAUGAGUAAAUAUUUAAUAAGACAAUGUAUAAUGGAUAAUUCUAAUAAAGACGUAGGUAAAAAUAAGUAUAUAUUUAAAUAUGCUGAUAAUAGAAUAAUAAAAAUGAUAAAAAAUAAAUAUAUAUUAAAUAAUAGAUAAUAUGCUGAAAAAUAAAAAAUAAAUAUAUAUUAAAUAAUAGAUAAUAUGCUGAUAAAUAGAAAAAUAAAUAGAUGGGUAUAAUAAAUAGACAAAUGGAUUAAAUGGGUAAUUUAAUAAAAGACAUGUAUAAAAUUGUUAUAACAUGCUGAUAAAUAGAUAAGUAAAUAGACAAAUGGAUAAUUUUAAGACAUAGAAAAAGUAAAUAGAUAAACUAAUAAAAUAGAAAAAUAAAUAGAUGGGUAAAUAAACAUGAUGGAUAAUAAUGGAUAAUUCAAUAAGACAUUGCAUAAAAGCAAAUAUAUAUAACUAGAUAAAUAGAAAAAUAAAUAGAUUAGUAUAAUAAAUAGACAAAUGGAUUAAUAAUGGGUAAUUUAAUAAAAGAGACAAAUGGAUUAAUAAUGGGUAAUUUAAUAAAAGUCAUAUAUAAAUUGUUAUAACAUGAUGAUAAAUUGAUGAGGAAAUAGACAAAUGGAUAAUUUAAUAAAGACAUAGAAAAAGUAAAUAGAUAAACCAAUAUAUAUAUAUAUAUAUAUUAUAUGUUCAUAAAUAGAAAAAUAAAUAGAUGGGUAAAUAAGCAUGAUGGAAUAAUGGAUAAUUUAAUAAGACAUGGCAUAAAAGCAAAUAUAUAUAACUAGAUAAAUAGAAAAAUAAAUAGAUGAGUAUAAUAAAUAGACAAAUGGAUUAAUAAUGGGUAAUUUAAUAAAAGUCAUAUAUAAAUUGUUAUAACAUGAUGAUAAAUAGAUGAGUAAAUAGACAAAUGGAUAAUUUAAUAAAGACAUAGAAAAAGUAAAAAGAUAAACCAAUAAAUAUAUGGGGUAAAUAAACAGAUGGAUAAUAAUGGAUAAUUUAAUAAGACAUGGCAUAAAAAAGCAAAUAUAUAAUAACUAUAGAUGAGUAAAAUAAAUAGACAAAUGGAUUAAUAAUGGGUAAUUUAAUAAAAGACAUGUAUCAAUUGUUAUAACAUGAUGAUAAAUAGAUGAGUAAAUAGACAAAGUAUAAUUUAAGAAAGACAUAGAAAAUGUAAAUAGAUAAACCAAAAUAUAUAUAUAUUCAUAAAUAGAAAAAUAAAUAGAUGGGUAAAUAAACAGAUGGAUAAUAAUGGAUAAUUUAAUAAAUAUAUAUAGCUAUAGAUAAAUAGAAAAAUAAAUAGAUGAAUAUAAUGGAUGAUUUAAUAAAUAAAUAAAUAUAUUUAUGCUAAAGCAUGCUGAUAAAUAGAAAAAUAGCUGAAUAAAAUAGACUGGAUAAUAAUGAUAACUUAAUAAAGCACUGGCAAAAUAAUAUAUUUAAAUAGAAAAAUAAAACAUGGAUAAUUUAAGACAUAGGUUAAAAGUAAAAUAUAGCUGAUAAAUAGAUGAGUAAAUAGACAAAUAGAUAAUUUAAUAACAGGUAAAAAGAAAAUAGAUAAAUAGAUAUGCUGAAAAAUAGAAAAGUAAAUGAUGAGUUAAAACUAAAUAAUUUAAUAAAGACAUGUUAUAAAAGCAAAUAUGUAAAAUAGAAAAAUAAAUAGAUGAGUAAAUAGAUAAUAAAGAUAUAGGAAAAAAAGUAAAUGAUAUAUGCUGAUAAAUAGAAAAAUAAGUAGAUGAUUUAAUAGAUAUUUUAAUAAAAAAGCAAAUAUUAUAUAGUUAAAUAGAUAAUAGAUGAUAAAUAGAAAAUGGAAAAUUUAAUAAAAGUAUAGGUAAAAUUUAUAAAUAAAUAUAUAUAGCUAAAUAUGCUGAUAAAUAAAAAAAUAGAUGACAAAUGGAUAAUAAUGAAUAAUUUUAAUAAAGACAUGGAUAAAGUAAAUAUAUAGUUAAAUAGAAAAAUAAAUAGAUUCUGGGUGAUAAAUAAUGGAUAAAUUUAAUAAAUACAUGGAUAAAAAGUAAAUAAAUAUUAAUUAAUAAAUAGAUAAGUAAAUAGACAAAUGGAUAAUAAAUGGAUAAUUUAAUAAAGACAUGGAUUAAACAAGUAAAUAUAUUAAAUAGAUAAUAUGCUGAUAAAUAGAAAAAUAAAUAGAUGGGUAAAUAGACAAAUGGAUAAUUUAAUAAAUGCAUAGAUUAAAAUUAUACAUAAAUAUAUAUAAAAUAUAUAUUGUUAAUAUUAUUAAUAAUAUUGUUAAAUAUAUAUGCUGAUAAAUAGAAAAAUGGACAAAUGGAUAAUAAUUACCUAUAAUUCUAUGAUAUCUUUAUUAAAUUAUCACUAUAUAGCUUAAUAUAAAUAAAAUAUAUAGCUUAAUAUGCUGAUAAAUAGAAAAGUCAAAUAGAUGGGUAAAUAGACAAUGGCUAAAAUUGAUACAUGUAGUUAAAUAUAUAACAUGAUAAAGAAUAAUAAAUGAGUAAAAUAGACAAAUAAAUUAAUAAUUUAAAUAAGUAAAUAGGAAAAUGGAUAAUGAUAUGAUAAAGCAUAGGUCAAGUAAAUAAAAUAUAGUAAAAUAGAUAUAUGCUGAUAAAUAGAAAAAUAAAUAGGUAGGUAGGCAAAUGGAUAAUAAUGGGUAAUUUAAUAUAGACAUAGAUAUAAAGUAAAUAAACAGUUAAAUAGAAAAUAUGCUGAAUGAAGUAAAUAGACAGACAUAAUAAUGGAUAAUUUAAUAAAGACUGGAUAAAAUUGUAAAUAUAGUUAAAUAGAUAAUAUGCUGAUAAUUAGAAAAACAAAUAGAUGAGUUAAGUAGACAUAGCUAUAUAAGUAAAUAAAUAUAUAGUUAGAUUGUAUGAUAAUUAGAAAAAUAAAUAGAUGAGUAAAUAGAUAAAUGGAUAUCAUUGAAUAAAUAUGUAAGUAGUUAAUAAAUGUACUGAAAAAUAGAUACAUGUAUAAACAUAGAAAAGAAUAAAUUGUGUAAAUAGAAAUAAAUUCACCUAAGUAGAAAAAAAUAUGAAAAUAAAUAUAAUUAAAGAAGAAAAUAUAAAUGCAUAAACAUAAUAAAUGUAUAUAAAAAUAAUGAAUCAAAACAUUGAAAAAUAAUAGAUAUACAAUUCAUAGAUUUAUAUAAAGAUAAGUCUAUUAAUAAAUUCAUAUUUGAAUAGAAAAAUAAUUCCUUAAAUAUAUCUAGCUAAUAUAAAUACACAAAUGAAUAAAAAAGAGCCAAAUAGAUAAUACUUGAAUAAUUCAAUAAAUAGCAAAUAUAUAUAAUUUAUAUAUACAAAAUAUACAUUAUACAUAAAAGUGUAUAAAUGAACAAAUAAUAAAUAUAAAAAGAUAUAGAUAAAUAGAAAAAUAAAACCAUUGAUAAAUGUAAAUCAACAUGGAUAAAUACAUAAAUUGAUUAAAUAUAUUGAUAUAUAUAAAUUAAUUCCUAAAUGAAUAGAACAAAUUAAUAAAUUCCUAAAUGAAUAGAAAAAUACAUCACAAAUUAAUAAAUUCCUAAAUGAAUAGAAAAAUACAUCUUUAUAUAAACAAAUUAAAUACCAAAUAGAGAGAAAUCCAUAAAUAGAGUAAUAAUACAUAAACAAAGAAAAAUGUAAAUUAAUUAAAAAUAAAACAAUGUAAAAUUGCAAAGUAAAUAUAAAUAAUAAAGAUAAUUACACAUUAUAUAUACAUAACAGUUAAAUAGACAAAUGGAUAAAUAGUUAAAGAAUUUAAACACAUAAGUAUGGAUGUAUUGAAAAUGGAUGUAUUGAAAAUUGUGUACAUAAAUACAUAGAAAAAUAAAAAUAAAUCUGAACCUAUAUAGAAAGAGGUAAUAUAUAUAAGAACAUAAUAGAUCAAUAUACUAGUAGAGAAAUGUAUAAAUAUAUAAAUAGGCAAAAUACAUGGAUAAUAUCUAUGUACAAAGAUUUAAAAAUACAUAAAUUGUAAACAGAAAUCAUUAAAUUUAUAGAAAAAUGAACAAAUGCACUAAUAAAUAGAUAAAAUACAUAAAUAUAAAUUAAUAAAUGAUUGAUUUCUAUUUCUAAUAUGUCUGGAAUCUUUUGCUUAAUCAGAUUCCAUAUAUCUGAGUUACAGAGACAUUAAAAGCCAAGGCACACUUUGUGGUAGAUAGUGCCCUAAAUCCCAAGCUAGCAUACCUUGGGAGAAUCCAACCAGUUAUGACAGUCACCAACUUGGUAUGUGGAUCAAGAGGGAAGGAAGAGAAGAGGGUAGAGGAGAGAGUGGAAGAAAAGAGAAAAGAAAGAGGGAAGAGGAAGGGGGGAGGAAUCCCCAUAGGAUCAUGCAUUUGAGGCCAUCUAUUCCAACCUUCAAAAUAAAGCUGAAGCCCAGGAAAGGUCAAUGAAUACCACACAGGCAACAAAGAUCAAAGAUGGGGUUGGAACCCAAAAGGUCUACUCUUUCCACUUGGGAGGAGGAAGAUGAGAAAGGAUGAUUGGGGGAAUUUGAAGGGAGAGUAGGGGAAAGAAGGGAUGGAGGAGAGGAAAAGAUACCAGAAGAAUAUUUUGGGCUUUUGGCAAGAAGAAGAGAGGGAAAGAGGAAAGAGGCAGGAAGGUGGGAACUACAGAAAAGGGAGGAGGGCUACAAAGGAGCUGGAGAGACAAUGGAAUCUAAGGCUAAGGAGAGGACUUGGGCAGGAGAGGAAAGAAGAAGGGGAGGACCAGGUAGAGAAAGAAGAGAGCCUGGGAGCAAGAGGAUGAGACUAUGUGGAGAAGGAAGGGUUCUGAGGUUUCCUUUUCUUUCUGAGUUGCAGUGUGAGAGAGGAAAGGAGAGUUAAGCAUUACUUGGAGGAGGCUGAAAAGGAUAGUGAUCUAAAGAAUCUGGCCAGGUGAGCAAACAGAGCCAUCCUAGAUCACACAGACAUCGAGUGGCAGAGCCACAGGUCCUAUGAUUCCUAAAGUAGCACAUUGUUGUUGAAGAUGACAUCAUUAUUUCCAAGAAAAUGAAGCUGAAGCCCAUGAAAGUUCAGUAUCAAGUAUCACAGGUUAAUGAAGCUCCAAGAUGGCACUGGAACCCAGGUCCUCUGUCUCCCAAGGCUCUUUCUACCACAGAAGGCAUCAUGGGACCAUAUCCUGUUGGCCCCAAAAGGAGGCUCUUGAGGUGUCCUGUCCAACUUCCUUGUUUUACCAAGGAGAAAACUGGAGCCUGAAGGAGCCAAGCAAAAAGACAAGAGGAGACUCUGAAGAGCUGAUCGAUCAUUGGAUAAGGCAGGAAAUGGCCCAAAGUGGCUGGGAAGUGAACCGAUGAGCCAGAGAACAUCUAGAGAAGGAUGACCAGAAUGCUUUUGAACUUCAUGAAUGUGAGGACCCUUUCCAUCGUCAAAGAUCACAACCGCCCCAGAAGAUGGUCUGCUUGAGUAGACAUGGCCAAAAAUAUUCAUCCUCCAGUAGCCAGCCUCCUGGGAAUAAGCUUUCACAAACCAAGUCGAUCCCUUGAACUUUAGUCCGUUGGUUGGCCCACACAUAAAUUCUUUCCAUCUUGGUAGAUCUUGACAUGGUUUAGCAUGUAUGUUCUUCUAGCAUCUAGGAGGAUGCCAGUGGGAAGAUUAUUAUGUAAUGCCUCAUGGUUCCACUGACUAUGACAAAGAACAUGCAGGUAUGUGAUUGCCCUAAAGAACAUGAAAGAUUUAGAGGUUUAAAGGAACACAAACAGUGAUAGAACCAAGUCUCUUUUGUUGAGUAUCCUGGAGACAAGGGAUACGGAACACACACACACACACACACACACACACACACACACACACACACACAACUGGUUCAGAGUUUGAUAACCCUUGACUUGGCUUCACGAGACUGGACAAGAUGAUUUCUCGUAAUUGAUCCAACAUUGAUGCUAUUCCAGCUGACCGUGCUGCUAACAGCAUGCUCCUUUUGUCAUUGUGUAUUAAUAAACCUUGAUUCAGUGCCUCCUGUAUGCCCAGUGCCAUGCUGAGUCCUACAAGGGACCACAUAGAUAUGGGGCAUCUUUGAGGAUUAUAUAGUCUUUUUCAGGGUGGCUUUGGAGGAGGACUAAGAGAUACCUCUAUAAUAUUUCGUGUAUAGCCACUUCUCUCCUUUCUCACAGCCACUAUCCUCAUUCAGGUACCUAUCACAUCUGGCCUCAACUAAUACAAAAGCUCCCUAACUAAACUCCUGGCAUGCAGUCUUGCCUGGCCUCUCUGGGGCUACUUUCUCUCUUCUCCUAUCCAUUCUCCACAUAGUUAACAAGUUCAUCCUUCUAAUGCCCAGGUAUAAUCAUGUGUCUCCCAUGCUCCAGUACCUUCAGGGAAUGCCUUAUUGCUUCUAGAGUAAAAUAUAAACACCUUAGCCUGGUGCUGAAAGCCCUACUGCAAUUAGAACCAACUCUCUACUCUUCUUCAGCAGUCACAGGUCUACUUGCUGUUUUGAGCCCAUUUAAUUCGAUCUCCUGCCUCCAUGGCUUUGCCCAGGCUCCCCCUAUUCCUGCAAUGGUAUCUCUGCUCACUUUUACCUCUUGAGAUCUCCAGUUUUUGGUGGGGUUUAACUAAUGGGCCAUCUCCACCACAAGGGCUUUCCCGAUCUCCCCAGUGCUCAUGACCUUCAUACACAAUUACAUCACAUAUCAUCUGCAUAUGCACAUCUUUGUGAAAAUGGUUUCAUCUAAGGGCUGAGACUGCAUCAUCUUCCUCUACAUGUGCCAAGCUUUUAACAUAGUUCCUUUUCUCACAGCAGACACAAAGUAAACACUUGUUUGAACUGAAUAUGAGACAAAGUAUACAUGGCAGCUACUCUGUCUGUAUAUAGGAGUAUACUUGGUCAUGGAGGAGAGAGGGCUUAGAUAAGCUGCCAUGAUCCUUGCUUUCAGUGAGCUCACAAUCUAACGGGGAAAAGAUGCAUUCACUGCGAAGUGCAUUGGAGAGGGAUCAAACAAAGGGCUAUGUGAGGGCCAUGGGGGGUGGAGGAAGUCAUUACCUAUAAAGUAAAUAAGAAAGAAUUUGUGGAGGAGGUGGCAAGAGAGCGAUUUGGACUGGAGAAAUGGGGGAAAGCCUUGUUGACCAGAUCUGACUUCAGGGUUUAUUUAGAAGAGCAAAGAGAAAGGUGAACACUGUGCAAGGGGCAUACCGUGUGCAAAGAGAGGUGUGUGGUAGGGGUGAAGAAAUGUUGAGAAAAAUGUGUCCUGUUCUACUGAAAUCCUACUAAAGUACUUCAUUGUGGAAUUGGGAUGACCCUAGACUCUUGGGACACACACUCUAACAGGACCUUCCAAGUUGGAAAGACUUCAAGUAAAAGUCAGUCAGGAGACUACCAUACUGUAGUGAAAGGUUUAUACUGGGAAACUAUAGCAGAUAAGGUGGGAUGGUUUAGUGGAAGAAGCACUGGACUGUAAGAAGACCUCACUUCUAGUCCUGGUUCUGCCAUCUGGGUGAUCUGAGAGUAGUUGUUUCUCUAAACUUUGAUUUUCUGCUCUCUAAGAUGAAAAUAAGAAAUGGCUAAAUCAAGAAGUGAAAGGAACUUCUAUGGCCAUAAAGGUCAAAUACCUAAUUUUUAAGAUGAUGAAAUUGAAACUCAGAAGAGUAAAUAGAAUUGCACAGGUACUCAGGUAGAAUUUGAAUCCAGGUCCUCUGUCUUCAGGAACAACUUUUUUUCCAGUGGAUUCUACUACAAUAGUACACAUUAUACAUUAUCUCUUUUACUGAGUAGUUGUGAAGCUCAAAUAAGAUUAUGUAUGUGAGAAUGCUUUAUAUGGCAAGUACCAUAAUUGUUAUGAAAUAGUUUUUUCUGCAAUUUAGUCUAGCCUUUCUAAAUGCUGGGUGUACCCUUAUUUGGGGUACUACAUUAGUCUUGAAAAUGAAACUCUUCUAGGCUGCAUCACAGACAAUGACAAAUCUCUGGCAUGCAAGGCUCAAAAUGGCAAAAAUGAGAGAGAAACCAAUUUAAUAGGUAGUAAAAUCAUGAUCAUAUUAUAUAUGCAUAACACAUAUAAUAUAUGCAAUAAUAUACUACAUGUAUAAUUUUCCAAAGGUUAGUAGUAGCUUGAAAAACUAUUAAGUGGAGUGGAACACAGGGAAUGCUCUAGACCAGUGAUAGCAAACCUUUUAGAGACUGAGUGUCCAUACUGCAAUAUUCUAGACAGAGGAGGGAAGAAGCACUCACAUUGAGCUGCUGGGCAGAGAAAUAUCCUCACGUGCACAUGAAGAGGGGAAAGGGAGCAGCCCCCUCUGGCACACUCUGGCAUGUGUGCCAUAGAUUUGCCAACAUGGUUCUAGACUAAUUUAGUCUCCAAAAGGCUUCCAUCCUGCCUCUGAUACCACCAAGCUUUUAUACCAGGGACAGGUCACUUCUCAGGACCUCAGGUAGCUCCAGAAUCUGUAUCAAGAUCACACAAAUUUUCCCCACUGAUGAAACCAUUCACAGAGCCUUUUCACCAAUGGCUUGGCCACCAGUUGAUGAAUUUUUUUGACCAUAAUAUCUCACAAAGACCAUCUAUUAAAACCAAGAGGAGUGAUGAUCUACUAAAUGGAAGAAGUAACCAAACAGCAAAGAAAUCACAGAUCCUUGAAGGGUAAGAAAUCUUUAGAACUAUACACAGGUGAUGUCAAAAAGUAAAUAUUUUGCUUGAAGUAUAAGUUUUUUGGUUCAAUCUUCUCUGCUCAAGAAGAAUACCUAAAGAAUCGAUGGGUAAGUAUAUCAAAGUAAUGGUUUAAUCUUGAAUUAGGAAUUUUAAUAAUAGUGUCUUAAUAAAUCUCUAAAUAUAUAUGCAAAAGCUCCUUCUAGUCAUUUUAUCUUAAAAAGUGAAUUUUAUAGUCUUUUCCUGGAAAUCCUAACAGAUUUAAGAACCCAGGGGAAUAUUAAAAAUUAAGGCAUAGAAGAAAUAUGUUUUCCAAUUAUUGUUAAUAUUAAAAUCUUCUCAAGUUAAUUGACGGAAAACCCAUCACUUAAAAUGUUAUAGUUUCACAGAAGUAGCUUCAGCUCCACUGGAUGGUUAUUCACUUCAUUAGAGCAUGAGGCCAAAAUGGCAGCUUUGAUCCCUGUAAGGGCCAGCUUGUUUGCUCUGUGCUUUGGCCAUAAGUGGUAUUUCCAAGCCUGGCCAAUUAUUUCAGAUUUUCUUCGUUUUGGUCUUUCUAUUUCAAGCCUGUUUCCAUUCUGAUAGAACCUCUAUAUAGGUACCAAAGUGAUUUUCCUAAGGCCAUUCUAAACAUAACAUACACCUUUCAUCCUCCUCCCUUAAUAAACUCCCAUGGCUCCCUAUGGCAUCUAGGAUCCAAUAUAAACUCCUCUGUUUGACAAUUCAAUCUCUUCAAUCUCUUAGCUUGCCUCCAACCUAUCUUUCUAGUCUUUUACUCAACUGUUCUCUUCCUCGAACCCUAUGGUCCAGCCAAACUUGCCUACAUACUUCUGCCAUACAACUGCCUGUGCCCCCCACCUUAGUGCCAUGCCAUUGGCAGCCCCCCCCCUUGCCUAGAAUGAACUUCCUUCUUAUAUCAACCUCUUGAUACUUCCAUUUUCCUUCUAGGCUUAUCUGAAGCAACACUUUUAAAAUAACUCUUACCUUCCAUCUUGGAAUCGAUUCGAAGUAUCAGUUCCAAGGCAAAAGAGAAUUAAGGGCUAGCUAGGCAAUUGGAGUUGAGUGAUUUGCCCAGGGUCACACAUCUAGGAAGAGUGUGAGGUCAGAUUUGAACCCAGGACUUCCUGAGUCCAGGCAGAGUGCACUGAGCCACCUAGCUACCCCUGAAGCAUUACUUUCUAUACAAGACCUUCCCUGGUGUCUGGAGCUACUAGUUAUUUCUUUUCCCAAACUACUGUUUUCAUCUUAUAUGUGUUUAUGUAUGUAUAUGCUGUCUCUCCUGUUAACAUGUAUGCUUCUCGAGGGCAGGGACUCUUUAUCUUUUGUUUUUAUAUCCUUGGCACUUAGCACAGUAACUGGCCUACAGUAGGCGCUUAAUAAAUGUUUGUUAAUUGUCCAAGGGAAAACUCAGUCAAAAAGGGAAAUGGGCCAAGUGAGUGAAGAUGGUUCUGUGGGGAAAACAAUUCCAAGCACACACCUGACCGAUGACCAGGCAGUUGCAAUAUCUUUGGAUUUUAAAGAUCAAGAACAAUCCCACUUUUGUAAACCAAGUUCAUGGGAGCUCUAUGAAGCACACAAAGCUUGUGACUUGGCCAGCAAGUGUAAAGAGCGAUUGGGAUCCAAGUCUUCUGGCCUCCAAGUCCAUUAUAUCAGGCCCUCUCUGUUACAAAGUGAAUACAAAAGACCAGAUUCCAUUAUGUUUCUAUAGUGUAUCUGAGUUUCCAAAGCAUUUUUAUAUCCGUUACUUCAUUGAAUUUUCCCAACCAACCUGUGAAAUAAGAACAGGAAUCCCAGCCCUGCCACUGACUACUUUUGUAAAUCAUUUAAGCAAGUCAUUUGCAAGACAUUUAAGCAACAUUUUCUCCAUUUGCAAGAUGAUGGGAUUGGAUGAAAUGUCCUCUAAGCCCCCUUCUAGUUUUAGAACCUAUGGUGAUUAUUGUCUCCAUUUUACAGAUAUGGAAAUAGGGUUGCAAAAACAUUCAGUUGUUGUUCAGCCAUUUUCAGUUGUGUUCAAUUCUUUCUGCCUCUAUUUGGAGCUUUAUUGACAAAGAUAAUGCGAUGGUUUGCUGUUCUCGUCUCCAGCAAAUUUUACAGAUGAGGCAAACAGGGUUAAGUAAUUUACGCAGAGUUAUUUGAGUUUAGGAAGGGGAGUCUUCUUGACUCCUGGCCCAGGUCUCUAUCCACUGUACCACCUGGAUGCCCCAAAAGGGCUAGAAAAGACUUAAUCAUAGCUAAUAAUUGGUGGAUGCAAGAGUGCUACACCCUACUGUCUUCUGCCUUCAAGUUCCCUGCUCUCUCCACUGUAUCACACUCCCCCUUUGUAUUGCUCAGUCUUAUUGCCCUUUAAGAUUGGAAGGUCUUCUUUAAUUGGUAUGAAAAUAACUUUAUUCGUAAACAUUACAGGCUGUGCUACCAUUUUCUAAGGUGUUAUAACCAGAGGUUUUUUAACGCCUGUGAAAAGCACUGAUCAUGUGCGUGUGUGUGUAUGUGUUGUGUGUUGAUGGCAUUGUACUCAAGAGUCAACACACAAAGCUUUCCACUGCAGCUUCUUUCUCCCCAGGAUUCAGACCUUCAAUCAGUUUUGUGUACGUUGAUUUUUCAUGUGAAGAUAUUUCGGUAUUCAACCCAUUGCUACUUCUUUCCCUGCCAACAUCCAUAGCAACAGUUACUUCUUUGGAGCUAAAAUAAGUUUGAUAUGAGAGCCUCAACUGGAGUUUUGACAGAGUUCUACCAUGAGAAAGCCAUCAGUUUUCAGCUGCUCCAGGUGAAUAUUUGCCAUAUAAAGAGGACAACUGGCCAAUUCUUUUGAUUCUCUGAGGCAUACAGUGAAGAACUCUGAACACUCGACCUGGAGGAGGAAUUCCAAGGUUCAUAUCCAGGUGGUGCCAUUUACCAGCCACGUAACCUGUAGCAGUGAUGAGAAUUUUUUUCUCAGAAUCACAGUGCUUCUGGGAUAUACUAGAGUGCUGCAGGGAGCUUGUUAUGAAGAAAGCAUUUUGUCAACCUUACAAUGCUGUAGAAAUAAUAUGCAUCAUGGCACCCCAGAGCACAAUAUGUUCAUAAUGAAGGCAUAAUCACAGUCCGUGUGAAGAAGGACUCCAGCAGCCUGAGAGUACCAAUGAUCACCAUUAAAUUUGAACAGUGAUGGCUGAGAGAAUGGAGGAAGUGCUGUUGAAGACGCUGAAGCUGGCCCCUCUGGGGGCUCCUGUCCUCUGCAAUGGCAAGGGCAUCAAUGGGGACAUCAUGGACAGGCUACAGAAAGAAAGAGAUCUCGCCUUCUGAAUGAGAGCUUAAAAUAGAAGAGUGAGCAGCUUCUCUGUCAGGCAUGUGCUACAUCUAGCAAGCUCUGCUUGACCCAUACACACACACACACGUGUGUGUGUGUGUGUGUGUGUGUGUGUGUGUGUGUGUGUGUGUGUGUGCACGCGCAUGUGUGCCUCCAGACUUGUGGAUCAGAUCAAGAGUGUGAAAAAGGAAAAAUGGUCGGGGAGGGAGGAAACUGCCCACAUACAGCUCCUAAGCCAGAUACUACCUAGAGCUGGAGGCAAGGCAGAAAGAGGGUGUCAUGGUAUAAGGUACCAGACAUGGGUAACAUGGAGAGCAUCUCAAGGGUGGUGAAGUGACUGGAGAUCAUACUAUAUGAGGAUCAGUGAGAAGAAAAGGGCCUCUUUUGUGCGCAGAAGAGAAGCCCCGAGGAGGACAUAGUCACUUUCUUGAGUAUUGGCAAGGCUGAUACAAGAAAAAAGGAAGAAACUGGUUUGGCUUGACCCCUGAAGGCAAAACUUGCAGCACUGUGUAGACGUUCAGGAAAGAUGUGAGACUCAGUAUAAGGAAAGCCUCUGUGGUGAAAUGGGCUGAGGCAUCUGAGUUACACAGCUGGUAGACUCAAAUUCAGGAAGUCCUCAGUUCAGAUCCUACCUCAGAUAAUUACCAGUUGUGUGAUCCUAGAUAAGUUACUUAGCCUUUCUCACCCUCAAUUUCUUCAGGGACAUUCAUUAGCUAUGCAGCCAUGGAUGACUUACUAAAUCCCAGUUUCUUCAUCAGUAAAAGGGGAAUAAAACACCAGGCGUACCCACAGUAUAGAAUUUCUGAGAGGUUCAGAGGAGCCAAACAUCACCAAAAUGUCAGCUUGUCUCACAGUGACUUGAUGGCGUUUUGAAAUAGAGUAGAAACAAAAAAGUGGUGGAGUCUGAAAGAACACUAUAGUGGCACUGACCUGUAACUCAGAAGACCUGAGUUCAAGUUCCCAUCUGUGGACGUGGGCAAGUCACUUUUCAUUUCAGGGAUACCUGGAGGAAAGAUUGUUGGAUUAGGCAACUUCUAAGACCUUCCCAUCUCAACUGUCCUCACUCAAGUGUUUGGGAAGCCUUGUGUGCAUUUUUGUGCAGCCUGUUCAAGGGCUUAAAUGAGCAAAGGAGCCAGGGGACUUGAACUUAAGAAUUCCCACCAUUUGAGACUAUUGACCAUGAUUUGAGAAGUCAGGGGGGGAAAAAGACAGAGUGAGAUAAUAAGAAAAAAUCACAGGAAUUGGCUUGCCUAUGAGCCUUGCCUUCAUGAUAAUAUUUUAUGGGUCUGUUAAGGUUUCUGCUGAAUGGAUUCUACUGGUCUGGUGUCUCUCUGUUUCUCCGUUUUAUCUAGAUUGAAAUAGGAGAUAGUCGAAUCUACAAAGGCCCAAUUUUGCGAUACCACAAGAUCGGAAACGUGCGUUUUGUCUGUGUCCCUGAACCCUAGCACCGAGUGGGAGGACACUUUUACUCUCUUGCAUUAAUAAUGAAUAACCCAGCAGAGAGCUUUUAAAGGUCCCAAUUGUGAAUCGUUAACGGGUACGUGCAUGGUGAAUUCCCUUUCUCAGCACACGUCUGCCUCUAGAAGGCUUUAACACCCAGCAGUAUGGAAAGGCAGUGAUGUAUUUCCUCUGAGUGCAUUAUAACUAAUCACCGAGGAGGUGCACUCUACCUCCAGAGCCAAUGGCAAGAGAACAGGACGACUUUAACCACCAGUAUUUGUCACAAAUGUCCACUGGUUCAGCUAGAGCAGCAUUUUCCAAUUUGAUGAGCCUGCUUGCUGAAGGAAGAAAACGUUCAAGAGAAUUUGACCAUGGAGUCGUGAGAAUGCACUGUCCCGGAUCUCUCCCCUAGCUGCCUUUACUAAAUAACCCCUUCCUUGGAGAUAUUCCAAGCGCCUGAAAGGCAGGCAUUGUUAUCUAUAUUCCGCAGGCAGGAAAGUGAAUCUGGGAAAGGUUCAGUGACAUUAUCAAAGACAUUAUAGCAAGUCCGGCCGGACUCACUUCCCCACAAUGAUGCUCUGACUUGUUCGCCACAUCUGGACAUUCUUGAAAACUCUUCUCCAAAGAAACCUUGAGGCUUUUCUUUCCCCCAUUUACUUUCUAAGGAGGCAGAUGUUUCUGCAGGGAACAUCAAAGGCUAGAAUGCAGAUUCUGAACUCUGAAUCACAGUUCAUUAAAGGGAUAUGCUCUGAGACGUUUCCAAACUUUUUCAGAUGAGGCUAUCACAUAACCUGACUUUAGAGAAGUUUCCUGAAUUGCUCAAUUGUCCCUACACUGGCCAAGACCUGAGUCCAUUGUCUUUACUUAUCCCCACUUUGUGGCGUCUUCAUUCUUUAGUUCAUGUGUUCAUUCACAAACAUUAAUAAGGACCUACUACAAAUUCCUUAGCUAGGCAUUCAAGGCCCUUUCCACAAACUAGAUGUUGCAUCUAUUUGCAUACAUUUGUAUAAGCGGUUCCACAUUCCUGGAGUGUAUUCCCUUGGUAUAUCUGCCUCUCUGAAUUUCUGUCUUCCUUCUAGGUUCAGAUCCGAUUCUACAAUCACCUUGAAGUCCACUCUGAUCUCCCCAGUGCAAGUUGGUUCUCUAUCCCUCUUGAGUCCCUCUUGCAUCCUAGCUGUUUUUAGACACAUUGUGUCUCCCAAUAGCUAUUGAGGCAGUGUAGCGGAGUAGACAGAGCACUGGAUUUGGAGGCUGGAAGACUCAAGUUGUUUGAAUCUUGUCUCACACACAUAAGAAAUAUGUGACCCUGGGCUUCUUUGAGUUCCUGUUUCCUCAUCUGCGAAAUGGGAUUAGGGAUAGCUGUGAUGCCUUUGUCCCAAGCUUGUUGUGAGGUUUAGAUAAGAUCCAUUCUUACAUAAACUUUAAAGCUAUUGAAAGUGAGCUCUGAUGAACAUAAGUUCCUGGAAGACGGAGCCCAGUUUUCAUUUUGUCUUUUGACAGCCUCCAGUGUAGAGAGAGUGAGAACACAAUAAAGUUUGUCCAGUUGAA
Monodelphis domestica (gray short-tailed opossum) is the source of this 60148-nucleotide non-coding RNA. NCBI's taxonomy places the organism in Eukaryota, Metazoa, Chordata, Mammalia, Didelphimorphia, Didelphidae. The record is from RefSeq and is a predicted model, not a curated record.